This 52642-nucleotide long non-coding RNA is filed under the name Musa acuminata (dwarf banana). Its description in RNAcentral is "long non-coding RNA (MACU_LNC007452)". The record is from RNAcentral. Lineage: Eukaryota; Viridiplantae; Streptophyta; Magnoliopsida; Zingiberales; Musaceae.
AAUUAUCCACUGUAAACCUAAAACCCUAGAACUGGGUCCUGUGCCACUUAUACAUCUGCUGCCUCUGCCUCUGCAAGUAAAACAUCUGUCUCUGUCCUUAACGAGGCUAGACCUCUGGCAACAAAUACAGAUGCGCUAGCUAUUAUUUACUAUGGCCGCCCCAUAAAAAGACUUAUACUAACCGAGCUACAAAUUAUGUAUUAGGGCCAGCUCAAUAGAUCUUACCGCUUACUAGUAAACUACUAGAUGCGCUACAUCGUACCCUAUUCUUCCCUAUUCAUUGAAUGCGCUAGCAAUGUAGUAUUAGGGCCCAACUCCCUUUCCUAACUUAGGAACUGUAACUGGUGAUGAAACUUAUACUUGCCCUCCGAUUUGAUUGAUUUCGUAGUAGGAGUGAAAGGCUUAAAUAAGAGCAUAAGAAUCUGAGAUUGGACUCAAAGCUAAGAGCAAAGCGUAUACUAGUAAGAGGCGGGAGCCAUGUAUAAUAGAAAGAAGUAACACCAACAACUAAUCCGACCUCUUCAAUAAGACAAAGGAAAAGGAUCAUUUCUCUAUCUUGCCUAGCACAACUUACAAUAAGGGCCUAGACUCAACUCUCACUGGACUUAAUAUAAGGGCACCGAGUAAACUAAUCAUUAAGAUAUUUCUAUUUCCACUGCUGGACACUACUCUACUACUUAAAUACGGAUGAAACUCAGAAUUCUACUCAGCUGUAGGAAAGGUCAGAAUUCAAUCAAGGUUAGUAAGUAGUAAUUCCCGACUGUAGCUUCUCAUAGGCUAAGUAAGCAUCUAGUUUCCCUCUGGGCAACUAUACCUCUCCGUAGUCAACUAACAACUACUGAUUCCACAGGACUAGCUUGACCACCUCCUAUAACUAUGGCACCACUCACUACUUUCAGGUUUCCACUUGAUAACCUCAUUUCUAUACACUAAAAUAGCUUGAUUUCUAAUCUUGUCCUGUUUUGAAUGUGAUUUCCCAUGAAACAAAGAAACUGUCCUUAGAGUGAAUUUCUUCCUAACAUAUUUAGUGCUCCUUCCCUUGUUGUAGAGAUAGAGUUUCAGACCUGGGCUAUAAGUAUCUCGGGCUAAAGUCUGCUACCAGUGCUACUACUACUAAGAGUGAAGUCAACUCCAUUCUGAUUGUCUGCCUCUCUCUCCUCUGAUCUUGACCUCUUCCUAGCUAUAGGUUUAUGAGUGUAAGCAUUAGACACAAGCACUCCCUCCUCUCUCAUGGCCAACAACAAGAACAAGAAAUCCAUCGUAUUCAGUACAUCGUAUUCAGUACUAAGUAAAGUGAAGGCAACAAUCAAAGUAAAGGCAAUAAGGCGGAAUUCUCAUAGCCAACACCAACAGAUGAAACUCGGGAUUCCACUAAUUCCACUAUUAGUUGUUUGGCCCUUCCCUAUACAAAUAAAUAAGUAAUAGAAUCCAUCGCUGUCAGGUCAACAACACCCUUACGUGCUUCCUUGCCAUCUGACCCGACCUAUCCUAUAGUGUUAACCCCGACUCAACCUCUUCUACUGGCUACAAUUCUCAAUUUCCACGGAUUCAUUCACUGCGGAGUUUGAUUCUUGACUGCCCUAUAGCUAGUUUCAUUAGAGGCGAUAAGGAGGGCUUGGGUUAGUCUGAAAGUCUUGUUGAGGGUUUAGGGUGUUGGUUCAGUGAUUGACUUUCCUGAGUCGGUAGAUACAGGGCUAUGUUGGUAGAUCGAGUUUACAGUUCUAUUUCGAUUCUCAAAGUCUUGUUGAGGGUUUAGGGUAGCUGGAACACCUGUCCGGAUAUGCUUAAUAGGGUAGAGGUGGAAGACCUGUACAGUAUUCGUAUUAUAAGAAAGAUCUUAUUUCCCCAACUCAUCAACAAGGGAUGAAACUUUACCACUCCACUUUUUUGACUACUUAGUUGGAUUCUUUACUUCAGUACUUAUAGUUUCCUCGUCAACACCUUUCCUUUCAAACUCGAUAUUGAAUUCCUUUCCCGCUGAGCUUCCUAUUGCCUUAACCGCUCCAGUAGCAAGUAAAGUAGAAAGGGGAAAGUCAAGUUGCGCUUCCGCUGAAAUUCCUAAUUUAGGUUAUAGCAAGGGAAAAAGAAAAAGUAUAAGAAGAUGCCUAGCCUACGGAACAGGAACAAGCAAAUAAGCCUUAGGAACCAGUAAGAGAACCAGCAAGCGCAAAGUCAACUAGAGAAUCCGAUGUUCCAGCUGUUACUGACAAGACCGGUACUGCUGAUAAACUGAAUGGAAUCGAUACCAAUAAGGAAGCAAACAAGCAAACGAGGAAGAGGAAGAGGCGGGUUCCAAGGUAAUGUCGCAAUCCUCAAAGAAGUCAUGCCAGCUAUACGGAUGAACAAGCUCGGGGGAGCUGAGAAGCCCCAACACAAAAGGACUCAACUUACGAUCGAAGCUAUUCAUAUGUAUUUGAUAGAGGACUCGCGGGACUGUGUCGCACGGAGCUCUUGCAGGGGCUUUCAAGGGACAAAGACAAAGUCAAGGAAAGAAAAGCAAAAAUACCUUCCCUUCUGCUGGGUCUAAGAUGAGUUCUAGGGCAAAUGGAAUCUAUCUAUCUCACAAUGGGGAUUUGGAUUGGAUUUAUAGGUAGUCUCUCUUCACCCUCCCCGUAUGCUUAACAAGUAGUGUAAGAGAGUGAGCAAGCCAGAUUGACUUUGAUAGUAGGUAUAAGAUAGUGUUCCGUAAGUAUAUGAGCAAAUUUCCGUAUAAGAGCUUUCUAGUAUAGUUCAUCUUCUUUCUCAGAAUAGCUAUUGAGUUCCCCUUGGAUGUAGUUUCUAGUGCAGAAAGAUGGAAUAUUUCCUCUUUCCUUCCAUGGAGUUAGAUUCUAUCGAGUGUUAGUCCUAAUCCAAAGGAUUCUAUUCUUAGCACUGGCAGUAGGGAUGAUUGACUUUUGGAACUCUAUUCUAUGUAAGAAAAGAAGAAAUGGAAUGACUUUAAACACAGGUACUAGUCAGGAUGGAAGACAACUUCCACUUAAACCCUUCCACUGUUACAGGCUAGAAUCGAUAUGAGAAAAAGAAAGAUUCAAAACGUUCGCGCAACACUGGAAAUAUCUUCACUGCAAAACACUGGAAAUAUCCUAACAGGAACGGGAUCUCCGCAAGCAAAAGAGCUUUAGAAGUCUAUGCCCUAAGAAAAAGGCUAUAGAUGUACCCCCACUAACUCUCGCAAAAGCUAGAGAUUCGGAACUGGCUUAAAAUAGAGUCGGGACUGGUCAUAUUUCUACUGAGAAUAUGCGGAAAUAGACUCACUAUUCUAUCUAACUCACUAUUCUAUCUAACUAUAUAGACUCACUAUUCUAUCUAACUAUUCUAUUAUAUGAUAGUACUUACAAGGAUAACUAUUCUAUUAUAUGAUAGUACUUACAAGGAACUCGCCUAGACCGACAACAGUCAAUUCAUGCCUUACCGCAAACUAUGAUUAUCUAAAGCUUUCUUCCAAUAGCUCGGCUGGUCGAUAGAAGGAAUCAAAGGGAUAAUCCAACCAAAUCCAAAGUCAGAAGGAAUGGAUGGAAAGGAAUACAAUUAAUAAGGAAUGGAUGGAAAGGAAUACAAUUGGAUCUUUAUUUAAGGCUUGAAAGAUUCCUGGUUGGAUAAAACCAGACUGUUUGACUCGCGUAACUGGCUUGAAAUAGUCCCUAAGGAGAUAUUGUCCUUGCCCUAUUGAUAACAGACUGCACCUAUUGAUCUGACCCGAUGGAGAAAGCAUAUUUGGAGCUCCCCUUCGGACCCUAGCCUACGGAAAAGGGACUGCUUGAAAGACUGACUUAAUGAUACUGCCUUACACAAACCCUUAGGAAGGACAGGCACUAGAAACUACUCAAUCAAUGGCACGUUACUCUGGAAAAUGACCUAUAGCCAGUAGGGCCCGAAACUAUAGCUAAAGGGAAAGCCACUUCUAUAGGCAAAAAUAACAAACAGAAAGAGGAAAUCCACUGGUAAUAAAAGCAGAAAAAUGGGGCAUAUGCGCACAUCAUUGAACUGGCUCUCUCACCUUUCUUUUCCUUCUCCAGCAAGUAAAAGCUAGCAGUCAUAGGGUAAGAAGUCCCUACAGACAAUCCGUGUUUUAUUGCUAUCCUUGUAGGAGUCUUUGUACCAGCCUUUGCCAAUCCAUCAGUACCAUAAAACUAUGUUAGUGAUUUCGCCUUCAGAUAGUAUGCUUAUUGGUAAACUAUAAUAAGGUAGUGCUUCGCCCAGCCAAGCGUAUACUAGACAAGUCACUACUUUAGUCCGGUGCCUUGAUCGAGAGUAGUCCUGCUUACUUACUUGCUAUGUGUUUGUAGUGGUUACUUGGUCGUCUUAUCUGUCUGUUGGUAUGAGCUCAAUUCCAGUAGAGUGGGGAGCUAUGUGAGAUAUCAUUCCUGUUAUCAUUGAUUGAUUUCCCAGUUCUGAGAUUCCCUAAGCAAGUGCUGAGUUCGAUUCCCUACGGAGUUUGUAUUGAUUCUUUGACUUGGUUUUUUCAUUGUACUACUUCCUUGUCUGGCAUUCCUUAUCUCUUCCUUUGAUUCUGACUCAAGCAAAUACCUUAUUCUAUUCUCUUAUAUAUGAUAAUAGUAAGUGAUUUAUUUAUCUAUUGUAUUUGUAUUGGAAUUAUGACUUAAUGGAUUGGACCCCGUACCAAAACCCUGUCUUUAGCCUUAGAGUGGACUGUUCCAUCCUUGUAUUCCCUGGUUCGGUUCUUGUCAGCUUAGUUUCUUUCUUUUUAUCUGUUGGUUCCUCUUUGCUCCUAGUUACUAGAAGGUUGAAAGCAAGGCUCUUAGGAACAAGUCUAAGCUCAACAAUAAGUUCAAUAUGGAAUUCCAGCUAGGCAUACAGGAAUAGAAUUGACUCCUAAUAGUAGAGGAUCAAAGCGGAGUGAAACAGAGAAAGUGUGCCUUCCACCCAUGUCUUCAAGUGUUUUUUAUAGAUGCUAGUUAGUCUGCCCCUCUGGUUUAGCCCGCGCGACUCCUUUAUCUCCGCCUGCCUCUCGUAACUCCAACUCAACCAUUCAGGUCUAUCGGACUCACUACCUCUUCCCUAAAUCAUACUUUCGCCACCAUGAUUAAGCUCAAACAAUCUCCUUCGCUUCAGUCAGCACCCCCAAGGAAUAUAGAGGCGCCGUUACUUUACUGUGCUGCGGGAAUGUACUGCGGCCGUAAUCCUAUACUGGAAAUAAGGAACGUAAACCUGUAAUGAGCUACGGAAUAGAGCAGGUUUUUCAUAAAGCGAAGGGAAGCGAUAAACCAAGUAGUAUCGGAAGAAAGAAUGCAGUCCAGGACGAAUAUGGAUUACUAGCCUUUUCAAGCAUUCUGGUAAAGGGUUCAAAAUGUAACGUGCUGCUGUGCCAAAGGCUCAGUACCAAUGAGCGGUCCAGAGCUACUGAGACUCUUGGGAGCGGAUCGGCCCUCUAUGUUGAGUGAUUCUCUAUGCGUUCCUGAUUUAGGCGGAAGCAUAGAUGCUAACCUAUUGAAGUCCUGUUAAAGCAAGCACUCGUGGAGGUACUACUUCAGUAAAAACUCCAUUAUAGCUAAUAAGGCCUAAGCAGAGGAGGAAGAGGAAAAUCAAAUCAAAGAAGAAAAACCGAACCCACUAAAGAGUCACGUAGGUGUGCGAAGGUAGGCUCAAGCUAACUCGAAAGUGAGUGAGUGCACCACUAGUAUACGGGAACGAACGGUAUAAUAAAGAAGUGUUGCCUGAUACCAAAGAAUAGAUCCUUUUCGCUUUAAGAAGAGAAAGAUCUUACCAAAAGGAGGAUCAAACUCUUACUCUUACUAAUAACUACAACGGAGAUACCAGAUCUUCGCUUCGAAUUGGAUUUUUCACAAUUGUCGCUAACAACCUUGGCUAGCUUUCUCCAAAAUAGGAUAGGAAUAGACUUAUUAAGGAGCUGAAAGCCUUUCAUUCCCCAUUAUUCUUAAGCCUGCGCGUAGUAAGGUAAUUCUAAUAGAGGCGCUUGCAUUCUACUUUACUGAGACAGCAUAGCAGAUUUCAGGUCUGGUGAGAGUGAGGUGCGGAAGGGCGCCAACAAUAAGGUCUUUUCCGGUAUCGACUUGGAUUGGGUUGAGUGAGAAGGAUAACAAAGGAAAGGAGACAGUUCAGGUAGGAAAUCGGGGUUGCUCUUCUGCCAAACCCGGCUCUCUGCGCUUGUCAUGGAAUUCCGCAUCUUUAUUGAAUAUUGAAAGUCUUUACGUCCCUAUGAAUAUUCAUAUUGAAAGUCUGUGUACGUCCCUAUUCAUUAUUUGUCUCUAACAUUCUUAAUGCAGAUAUGCAAGAGCAUACGCUACUAGGAGAACUAUAUUCCACCUUUGCUGCCAGGAGAGGAAAACGUUAUGAACUGGGAUUCUUGUAAAGCACUUAGUACAGGCGGGGAAGGACUCAUAGAACACCAAAGGAGAAAUUCAGAUCCAGAAAAGAAAGCACCAUCCUUGAAGCUGAACCCCAUUCUUGUGCCUACAACAACCCACCAUUCUUUCCAACAAAAAAAAGUAGUUAAAGGAUUUCGCAAGCAAUCAAUUCCAUUGGACCUCUAAAACAAACCAACCUUUUGAAUAGCCACUUUUCCACCAGUAUGUAUAGAAGAAACCCAUUAUAGACGGUAGCUGAUGCCCCUUCACCAACAAUUCUCUUUCGAUCGAAGCCCAUUGUGGCUAAUCGUAUCUCCGCAAAUAAGAUUAGGGUACUAUACCAGUUUUCACUCUACAUUGAGGCCUUCUCUCUUUAAAUCACACUGCCUGUAUUAACAAACUAACUUAGCACAAGCUGCUUACUACGAAAAGAUUCCAUUUUCUAUGCCAAUAGACUCGUGACAUACAUGUACUGAGUCGUCAAAUGAGCCACGUUAAGAAAGCCCAUUCUUAUACGCCCACCGGGUGUCCCAAGAGGGCCCGAAUGAAAGACCCAAGCUUACAUGAACCAUCAAAGAAAGUCCUAGAAAUGCAUACUUGUGUGGUCCUCGCUUUCCUCGAUGGAAGCCCACAGAAGGGCCAAAACACAACAAGCCUACCAAUCACCAAGCCCAAGCGGAGUAGGAAAGAAAGAAAGCCCAACAUAGCUAUCCUAAGUGCUAUCUUUUUUCAAGGAAAAAGCAUAGAUAAAGAAAGGAAUACGGAGUCAGGAGUUUGACGAUGCAAGCAAAGGAUAGUAGUAUUAAACGCUGCUCUCUUCGCUGCUUACGGAUGCCGCGCGACGAGUGCGCCCCGGAUGAGGGCCUAUUUACCUAAUUCCAUCAGUAGUUCGAGCAGAUACAACCCUGGAUGCAUAAUAUACCGUGCCAGUUGAUCCGCUUACAACCCAGUUGGCGUGUGAACACAUUUGGAUUAGCAUCUGGGCCAGGACCGAUUGUUCGGGUGGAAGCAGCAUAUCUUUCAUAAGUAUCAAAAGAUUCACAUAGUGCCCUGUAGGGUAAUAUUCAAUAUUAGAACGGUUCCCGCAAAGACAGGUUAGAGAAUUCAUAUAGAUAGGUAGUUUGCUCACGAGCAGCAAUCAAUAGAAAGGGAUCUACCCUCAAUAGAAGAGGAUCGGAUCCACCUGAAGUAGUAAAGUCCCAAUCAAUGGAAAGAAGUUGACUCUAUCCGACCAGCGAGCCAUGAAAGAGAAUCGAUUGAAUACGUGGAGUUCUGAAGUUUGAAUUGAUUCGUGGCAUGAGAAGAAUACGGGACGGGACUAAGGGAUGUCAUUCCAGGCAAGAGAGCCAAUCGGGGAAAUCCUCCCGGUAUAAGCGAAUAGACAGAAGUCGGCAAGAAAGACGGAAAAGAUCUUAAUAAGAAGGCGGCAGUGUGAAUUCAGGCAGGGGUUAAAGACCCGAUUGCUGACUCAGAUAGUGUUCACCACGUGGAUUUCACAGAAAGGGAAUAGGAUAUUCCGAUUGGGCCAGGCAAGAACGAGAGGUCCUUAGUGUUACAGGCUAGGUACGCCGCUCACCUGUAUCAGUUAUUGGGUAGAAACUUCCAGAUUCUAAAAGGGAGAUUAGACGCGGAAUAAUAAGAUGAUGCUUGGAUUCUAAAAGGGAUUAGACGCGGAAUAAUAAGAUGAUGCUGGGCCAAUUACUAUAAGAGCCUAUUGAUGUUUAUUCAAUUGAAAAGCAGGCUACCCCUUAGAAAACCAUCUCCUCUCCUGGAAGAUUCUGGGGUAUCGGCCUUUGCGUACAGCCCUGCUCCCGAGCCUAAUGGAGCUACUUAAGCCUUUAUUAGGAUCAAGGAAAGACCUAGACCGAGUGCUCUUCUGUUGUUGUUCGCCGUCCAUACCAAUGGUUGAAACCUUUGUACACAGCUCUUCCCCUGGGUGUCUACCCCAACCCUUUCCUCACAUCGGAUCUUCCCGGCUGCUGGAGUUGAUCUGAACUGGAAUUGGAGUUAGUAGCUUCCCUUAGGGACUCCUGGACCUUAUCUAGACACCCUUUCCGCUGACCUUUUCUCUUUUUUAGAGGCUUGCCUGGUCGGUGGUGAAGGACGAUAAAUAUACCUGGACUUAGAUGUGAAUUAGAUAUCAACCUUCUCAUCACUAAAUCUCUAAAGUACUUACAAUAGAGAGGUAAUCUUAGUAUUCUCUGUAUAUUUGAAUAGUGACUUUGAAAGCCCUCUAAGUGUCCCGUGCGACUAAGAAUAGGGUGAUAGCCCGACUGCUGGAUUCCGCUUUACUACAAGUGAGCAACUAAACUAAAGCCGAAAGGUGAAUUCCUUGUAGGGAAGUUGAUAGGCAUUUUCUAUCUUCCUGAGCAUACGCUCAUUCUUUCGAUUAGAAUAGCUCAUUCUUUCAAAGGCCUAUUUGAGAGCAGCAAACGCUUGUUCUUUUCUUUCUCCGUAGAAGGAAUCAAUCUCGUCCGCAUAACUAUCUCUUGCUCUUUACUAGGAGCUGCUUGCCCAGUCAUAAAGCUAGGAUCCGUCUCUGUCUACUCUAAGGAAGCCCCGUCUCAGGCGAAGGUUGCUCCGUAUUCUUUUCUUUCAUAUAGCCUCUCUCCGUGUCGUAAUUCAUUCCGUUAACUAAUCUCGCUGGGCCAUUUUGGUUUCUGGUCAUCAGCGGCUCCCCUUUACCUAUCUCAUGGUCUGGAGUGGGCCAUGCGUACCGGUCCGUGGGGUAGAGGAAACAGGUCUAGGUCACAGCACAGGCCGAGGGGGUUCUUAUUAAGUCUACCGCCCGAAACUCUAAUACUUAGGGCGACAAAAGUGCAAGUGUGUGCAGCUCAUUGAAUUGGGUCUUUUUUCCAUAGUAUAGCCAUGUCACAUUGGCGUCUUUUCUAUCGUUAUAUAGCUCACAUCGUCUAUUCAUCCGUUAGUUCUUUCUAGCUUUUAUUCUAUCUAUCUUUCUUUCCGUUUUUCAUAUCUAUAUAUUAGGUAGGUCCAAUUCUUCGCUCUUCUCUUCUAAUUGCUUAGAGGUAUUUGAACCCCUUUACAUCUAGGGCAAAGAUGAGCCCUAUUAGUUCUUUAUAUUCAGGAACAGGGCUCGGUCGACUGCUAAAUGCGUUCCCGUAUACUUCCCUCUAUCGGCGAGAGUUCGACGGAUCACUUUUGCGAUGUCUGUCACAUGAAUAAGCUCCGCAAGCCUUGCGAAAAGUCAAUGCUAUACUAGCUAUAAGUCCAUGCUAUACUUAUAGGGCAUCGUUCCAGUGGUUUGCUGGGUUUGUUUUGCUCUCGACCUUCUCACAGGGGGAUGGAAACAAUAGAGGUAAACAGGAGGCCAAACAACGGGGCCGAUAAUCUUUGAUCGAUCCUAAGAACCAUUACUAUAUACGAUUCUGCUCUCCCUUAUUACUACCCCAAAAUGAUAUGAUUGCCCGGCGCACUUUCGGCUUAAGAAGGCAUCGGUGAGAAUGAGGAUAACUUCUAUACUCUAGGAGAAUGGUAGUUUUAGGGCGGGAUCUCAAAGCUGUGCACGACCUUAAAUCGUAUAGAAGACAUAGAGCGGCUUCUUUAGUUAGUUACCCACUCUUUCCUGGAGAUUCUCUCAUUUCUGUAUUUUCUAGAAGAUAGAAUCUUAGGUCCGAGAUGAUAUGGCCCCUCGUUCAGUUGUACCUUACUCUCUUUUCAUUCUACCCCUCGUUCAGUUGUACCUUACUCUCUUUUCAUUCUAUACUAUUCUAGAAAUGGGAAAUGGAAUUACAAGGAAACACUUUCGAGAGUCUCUUUCACCAAUGCUUAGGGAGAGCCGUUUUUAGCAGGUUUAUUGUUCCCUCAUAGGGCCUUUGAUGAGAACAAGAAAAUCUUAUUAUCCUUCUUAUAGGAAUUGGAGUCUAAGGUUUGACCUGACCUACCUGUGCCCAUUCUAUUGGACAAGUUGAGACAGGUUUUCUAGGACAGAAAGUAGAAGUAGGAGGUAAGAGGCUUUGCCAUUGGCAAUUGGGUGAAUCAGAGACUACAGUAUCCAAUUAUAGAUUGGUUAGCUACCGUUCUCUGGAAGAUAGCUAUGGGUGAUACCUUCGAUCAAUUAAGACCGCAGGCAGAUAGAGUGCUAUUCAUUCGACUUUACUAGUUCCACUGAUAGGUGUUCCUUAGUUGCUCUCAUAGUUUUGUGCACUCUUUGAUCGCUCCUCUGGCGGUAGUUCAGCCUUAGGCUCAAAUGUGUUCUCUAUUCCUUUAACGUAUAAGAAAAGAAGAAUAUAGAGGUCUAAUCGCUGGAUUACAUUUGUUGCUGGGCAGCCACUUGGCUAUGGAUCCUCUUGGCCUUUGUUUGCCCAUCAUCCCUUCUUAUAGUAUGGUAUUCGGCAGAGCAAGUGUAGUCGCAUCUUUCAGGAGUAUGCUAUCUUCGGGGAUGACGUGCAAAUUGCGGAUGCAAAAGUUGCCCCAGUCUAUGAAGAGUCUUUGUCUCGUAUUCUGGUUAAGAUAUCUAGAUCCAAAUCAUUGAUAUCUCACUCGGGUGCGGCUUAGUUUGUUUGCUAAGAGGUUGAUUGUCAAAAGUGUAGACCUUUCUCUGGUAUCUGCAAAAGGCAUUACUUGGAGCCGAUAUCUCCCUGUUUUGUCGCCGCUCAACGGUAUCCGAUCAAAAAGAAGGUAAAGUUCUCCACCUUUUUUCGUCUGGGAGGGAAAGGGUACAAGAAGCUAUCUAACAAGUUUACGCCUAACCCAACUGAACGAGACAAGCUCGAUGGGCUUUGGUGGCAUCAACUACAGUUUCCUUCCAGAGAAUUAUUGAUAGGUUAAAGGAAAAGAAUACUUACUCGGCUCCUAAGCUUUAAGGGCACAGGUUUUUCUUCCUGUCGAUCUUUCCUUUCUUUCCUUGGCGUAUGUAUACCAGAGACAACGAACAAGGUUACGCUCUGGCACCCGAACUUAUCUAUCUGGCAUUUUCUGAGCACAGAAAGAGUCGCGGCUGAGCGAGAACCCAUUCCUUCCGCUGCCGACUGCUCAAUUCACAUUGCCUUCCCAUUUCCCCAGGAAGCUGCUUUUCUGUCUUUCCUCACCCCCGCCUUUGGGCAAACUAUUCAUGCUGGUAGGUACACCACUAACUGAAUCUUACAGCUAUGGGUCUAGCCCGCUAAGCUCUUAAGCGAGCAUAGGGAAUUAGAUAAGAGUUCCCAUCUCCAGCGGGAAAGCCUUCUGCGGAACUGUCUGUUUACAGAUAAUUGUCCCUCGCGAGCCUAGACUAGAUUCGAUUCGAUAUAUGAGUGCUGUCUCACUCUUGUCCGUAGCGCUACUGUCAGCUUCCAAGAACCUUUUCACCAUCCCAACGAUCCCCGAGCUACUAAAUUAUGACAAUUAGAGGAGCAGGGUGCCGGCCUAAUAGAUCAGAGCACCGAGAUAGCAGCUUAUGAUGACUGCUUCGAUGGAUACCUAAAAGCUUCCAUCGCCACUGCAGAUGAUGCCAAAGGUCCGUCCCACUGCUAGCCUAGCCCGCUUUCGAGCGCUCCUAACCUUGUGAAGGUCGGCUUUCUAAAGGACGCCUUUCUCGAUCCAGCUCACCGGCGAGCUCAAUGCAAACAAGGCAAUGAAGUAAGCGAUGUCUACAUUACAGAAUAUCUUAGAUAAGUUCUCAGAUCACAGUAAGUAUAUGACACAUCCAGCCAGUGCCUCAUAGCAGCUAGUUAGGCUAGUUAAGAAGUGUAAACGAGCUUCAAGCGGAACUUUACUUCUUUGAGAAGGCCACGUUGUAGUCUACUGUGGGUAUCCUCCGGACGGGAAUCUUUGACUUACCUCCAAGACAAGAUAAGACUUCUCAUUCUUUCUAUAGUACAUUUAUUGCGUUGUUAGGCUCGGGCCUGACGCUCCGGUAUAGAUAAUAAAUGACAUAGAUAAGAAGGUCUUUGCCGAAAAUAUAGGGUGUGAGAGCAGGUCUAUAUGUUUAGUUUGGAGAAAGGCCCGGCUUUCACUUGACUAAGUUUUUGUGUUCUCCCCGCCAAAUAGAUUCUGCUCAGAAAGAAGGAAAGAGAGCGCUUUACCCAUUAUAUAAUGGAGCUGCCAAACCGAGGCCGAGCUUGAAACAAGAAACACUUUUCUUUACGCGGGCUAACCAAAACAAAAGAGCGGCUCGAAUCUAAAAGACCCCUCUUUGGAGUUUCAGAUGAUUCUUUUCCGGAAUCUUAGAAUGUAGUCACGACUGGAAGGAGAAGAAAGACUAAGUUAUAAAGACUCUAAAGCCUAAGUCUAAGUGAGAACCUUCACUGACAGAACGAAUAACUAACUCCUUCUUCGUUACGAACAACUUGGAGCUAUUAACCAGAAAUGGGGAAUACUCCCUUCUGCUAAGAAAUCGACGCGUGAGACUUACGUAACAGCAGCAAGGGCUGACGACUCUGAGUCUUUCUAUAUGCCGCAUAGCUACCAACAGCAGCUAGAGAGGCCGCAGCCAAAGUGGCAGCAUCUUGCCCGUCACUAGUUCCAAAGAUCCCAAAGAUCGAAAGUAAGAUAAAGAUCUUCCAGUUGCUGAGCCAAUUGAAGUACCGGGAGUGGAUCUAGUGCUGGUUGAUUCGGUUUACCGAAAGAAUGAUCUAAAUCCUGCUCUGUUUAUUCACCUAAAGCUGUGGAAUUGAUUCUUCUCGUUCGAUAAUACUUUUAUACAUUAUCUAGUCGCCUUUAUUGAUCAUCCACUUGUGGGAGAUAUUGCUCUACAUCCUGCUAGCCCAUGGCAAAGGCUGUUAAGACGGGGUUGGUUCUUGUAGUUAUUAUUGCUAUUGUCGGAACACAGUAACGGGGAGCUGAGACGGCUUAUACGCCUUUACUCGUAUCGGGACGCAGCCUGAGCUAAUACCUUUGACAGGGCACUGCCAGCCCCUUCGACUCGUAUCAGGUAAGGAGGGAGACCCAGAUCCCAAGGAGGAGAGAGCUUGUUGGAACACAUGCAUGCUAAUUCCUUAAACAUCCAUCUUAUUCUUGGAACACGAGCAAAUGGUGGAUCCGCGUGCGAUAGGUUAUGGCUCUGAGUUUGGCCCGCCCACAGGAUAUGGAACUAAGCGAAGGGCUGCGGGCAAUGGAUCUCUAACGCCGAAACAGGAUAUGCAACUGUUAAAGGCCGGUGGAUCCGUUGGGUCAAUUGCUUUAAUGGGUUCUUCAACUUCCACAAGGUAAAUUGGAUCUAGGUAAACUUCAAUCGGUUAUUCGACGAGAACAGCGAGUAUUUCUUCUCCGCUCGGUCGACGUUCACAGGGUUCAACAAUGAAUAUUACAACCCCUUAUAGCGACUUCUGCUCCUGUUUCCACUUCUACCUUUCUCUUUACAGCUGCUGAAACAACUCGCUUUUUCUCUUUAUUUGGAUUGAAAACUUUCUAUGAGUCUCGAACUGCGGAGUCAACAAACAAGGUCAACUCUUACUAAUACGGGCCGUGAUGCUUGUCUUACCGACGCUAUUGCCUCCCUCCCUGCCCUCGAUGCGUUUUUCUGCUUACUCAGAUGCUCCUACCUUUGCUUGCGUCUGUGACCCUUGCUGCGGAAGCCUAUGCCUCUAUCUAUCCUUGUUAGAUCACGUGGAUUCGGAGAGAUCGAAGGAGCGGCGACUCCAUUAAGUAUCGUUUAGUAGGCUCCUAGCCGGUGGGGAAAUAAGCACUUAUAUAUGAUGCUAUGCUGCUGCUUUCUCUUCUGUUGCCCGCUAUUGGUGAUGUGAUGGCGGUGCAACUCGUGCUGCUUAAACGAAUGCUGGUGAUUCCGGAUCAACGAAUGGCUCUGGAUCAAGGCCGGACUCAACCUCCCAUGCAGUGGCUCUCUACAUGCCCAUGUCUUCGCCUCGGAUUGAUUUGCCCCGCAGCUCUCAUCGCUCUAUAGCCCAGUCAAACAUUCUAUACAUGUAUGAUACCUCGCUACGCAUACCUUACAGGCCGAUAACCAUUAGCCUCGACAGAUAUGGAUUCCGUUACUGGUGGAGGUUCAUAUCCAAAUAUAGAUGAGGAUUCCGUUGGUAGAGUCAAAGCAGUAGUAUAGAUAGCAGCAUGGACGGCAUACCUUCCUGUUCACUAGCCUAGCUUGUUUCAGAUUCUAUCCAGUUAACUAGCCUAACUUGUUUCAGAUUCUCUAGUUUAUAGUAAGUGUCAAAAAAGUCCAUUCGAUGUUGUCUCUUUCCCGCUGCCUUCACUCCUGCUGCCUUAGGUGCCUCAGCCUCUACCUUUGCUUCAUGUGCUUAUGCCUUGAUUUCUGUCUUAGCUCUUGCCUAUGCCUUAGCAUAAGGUCUUUAUGGCUAAAAAAAGCAAAUAGAACGACUUAAAGACGACGCCUGCGCUUACCUUGAAUUUGGGAUGGCUCAUGCUUCUUGCCCUACCGAUCUAUGCUACCUCGUAUGGUACUGUCUUUCUCGCUUCGUGCUUUGAGAAAGGAUGCAUUCCAAACUGCUGCUUAAGAGGGUGCCCAUUUUAGACCCUUUACCAGAAAAAGUGCUCCUACCUUCUGGUCUACUGGUUAUAGAUCAAUGGCUUACACCCCGUCUACGGGCUUUGGCUCUGAAAGUUAUUACAAGGAUGCGCGUUGACUCGAAUGCUGGUGAGUCAACUGGUUCUGGUUCAAAUGCAUCUGGCUAACUAGCCACCUUUCCCGCUGCUCCUGUUACAACCUCUGAUUGCUAUUAAUAUCAAGAGAACUGCCUUUGCUCCUUUCCUUACAGCAACAAACACACCUUCUUCCGUUUUCCAUCUGCUUGGCAAGAAUGAGUUUAGAGAUGGACCUUUCACGCAGAGAGAAAGAAGGAAGCCAUUUCCAAGUAGAAAGCAGCCAGUUCCAAGCUUGACUUCAAUUAAUAGAACUCAACGAUUACAUACCAUCGAUUCGGCCUAAAAGCAACCUUACCCAAUAAUCCGCCAUUUCCUUUGUUUUUCGAUGAAUAUAAUAAGGAAAGUGACUAAGGGCCAGCCUGUUAAAGUCACAACUCAUAAGACAAGAUAACGGCUGUUUGGUAAGCCGAAGGUUUAGGAUAAGCGUACUGCUGACAGAACGGAUUAAUUAAGGAGAACGGGAAAGCAAAUAAGGUGUAGUUACUAUUAUUCUCCCUUCACUACUUCUCCGGGGAAGCAUUCUAUUAAGAAGGUAAGCCAAGCGGCUCUAGUUAGUCUGAUACCUGGAGUUGCUAGGUGAUAACAAGAACAAGAAUCCGUAAUGAAUCGUGAGGUUAUGGAUGCCGGAAUGUAUACUAUACUAUAAGCUUAGGCUGCGCCUCGGGAAGAGUACUUAGGUGUUCUGAUCUAUAGCUAUUUCAUCUGUCUAAAAUAGAAGGUAGGGGCUGUUUGGUAGUAGCCUAGUGACGAGUAGCAUCCGUUCCUUAUACCCGUUGUGACUAGUUAGGCGGUGGGAGCGGACCGAGCUCACUAUGGCCAUUAGACUCGCAAAGCAGAAAGGUUAUGCUGGUAUUUGCGGGAAAGUGCGGGAAAGAAAGAGGUCAUUGCUAGUAGGUUGGUUCAGUGUGUCCAAUCUGAAUCUGAAUAAUAGCAUUGAUAGAUAUAGGGUCCUCCGUCAUCUUUUGGGGUACAGGUGAAAGCAUUACUUAUUGCAUAUAAAAGGAUGAAACAUAUAAAAGGAUGAAAUGGAUCGGAUAACUCAAUAAUAAAGCUCUGUGUUCCCCGGAGACAUGGACUAAUGCUCAAUGAGCAAGGAAAAGGUUCAAACUUCAUAGGAAAAAGGCGGAGCAUGGCCCAUGGCCGAUAGCUGGCUUGCUUUCUUGAGAGAAGUCUCUCUCCUGGCUAACAAAGAAGAUGGAGCUAGUCUACCUUUAAAGGGCCGCCAAUCUCUUCCUUAGACUGGCAGAUUGGAAUCCUGAGUAUGGUAUGGGGAUCCUUGCCCAUUGGUUACACUCACUGUCUGAGCUUCUUCCUGGCUGUCCUAUGGGUAGAGACAGGCUCUCUCUAUGCGAUCUUUCUGAGAGAGGGGCACUUCCUACUAUGAUCGGAACAGUCUCUCCCAGCAGUAGAUCUAAUCCUUAAGUAAGUAACAGGUAGAGCAGAAGGAACAAAUUGGCUGCUAUGCCCAGUUUCAUAGGUGUUUUUAUGACUCGACUAGAGUAUGGGGAAGCGCUAUACAGGUCACUUGAAUACAUGGUCCAUCCUAUCACCUGGAUCACCUAAUUGAUCUCUCAUGCUUGAAUACUCAAAAGAUGUCUAAAGUUGCUGGUUGAGGCGUGAGAAGAGCAAGACCAUUCAUUGAAUCUGCUUAUAACUUAUCCCUUGAUACCUCUUCCCCGCUCAGGUUAGGAGGCGAGCGGAUUUCUUGUUUGAUAAUCCUAAGCACUACGACUAGGCGGUGCUUGCUUGAGUCGCUACUAUUGCGAAUGGAAUGAAUCAAAAGAGAGGGCGACGGAGAAGGAGGCUCGAAGAGAGGAGUCAUCUAGGCUACCAGAUCCAUUAAGCUCGAAGAGAGGAGUCAUCUAGGCUACCAGAUCCAUUAAGAUUCUUUCUGGGAUCUCCCUUAUAUCUCUCGUUCUUUAUAAUGUAGUUAUGUAGAAUGUAGAAUAACGGCAUUUGCUAGGCUCCAUCCUAAGCGCUUAAGCCCUCCUUCUAUCCCAUUCAGUGAAUCAGCCCAGCUUUCAAUCAGGUUAGUAAGAAGGCCUUAGCUAACUAGGACGAGAAAGGAAGAUUGGGUACCUAAUUAGAUUGAUCUUGAUUUUGCCCCCAUGUUGCUAUUAUGCAAUUAGGGUUCCGCUCUUUGGUUAUUUUCGAUCGUAAUAGAUCGUGAAGAGUGGGGGUAUAAAUCCAACUUCGAUCCUUGCUCCAUUAGCUUUUGCCGAAAGCGAGGCCUAGAACACGGACUGGGUGGAAAUACCGCUGCUAAUCCCGAUCAUGACAUUCUCUUUCCUAUUCAUCUGUUCCGAAACCAAUCUCCAACAAGGAGGGAGGCUCUUACUGUUGACUAGGUUGCUUGAAUCAACGUGCCAAUCCCCGCCUCUCGAGGAUGACCUCUCUUUAAGCCGUAAAGUAGUUGAUCUAAAGCCAGUGAGCUUAAGCCGGAGAGUAUAUACUAUAAUGAAAAUCCUUCCAAGGGUAAGAGAAGCAUCCUGUAUAUACUAGAAUGAGAAUCCUUCCAAGGGUAAGAGAAGCAUCCUAUAAAAGAGCCCUUCCUUAUUGGGCUCCUCUUUCAGAGAACACGAAAGGGCCUUGCUACUCCAACGAGGACACCUUUGAUUUAGGCUUCUUCAGUCCAUCGGCGAGAACAAGCCCAUUAAGCAGAACGUCAUGCCAUUGGGUUGAUCGAGUGAAAACUCCCUCCCUAGCUUUUUCACUAGCUCGAAUUGCAAUUGCUUGAUUUAGCAUUCGAAUCCAUUCUCUUCAAUUGGAGAGGAAACCCGCAUAAGGGGAAGUGAGCCCACUCGACCUAAAGCAAAAGUCAGAAGACCAUUGGGUAGGCUUUCUGAAUAAAGGGAAAGUAUGUCGAUUGAAUAAGGCUAUAUAUGGCUUGAAGCAGUCCAUUGACUAAGAAGGAAGGGUGCAACUGGUUUUCAAAGUGUAGCAGUGCAAAUAGUUUGGUUUUCAGAGAAGUAAUGCAGCAGAUCAUUCCGUAUUUGUCAGAAAGAGAAAGUAGGGUACAAAAGUGAUAGUGGUUAUGUUGAUUACAUUGUCCUUACGUGGGAUAAUGUCGAGGCAAAUACAAAAUCAAAGGUUUCAGGCGCAUUCACAUUGUAGUAAGGCAUUUGAGAUCAAGGAUCUGGGAUGGAGAUCAAAAAGGUUUCUGGAAAUCCAACUGUGAAAAGACCUCCCUUAGUUCGCAUCGAGAAAUCAGAAUUACAGACUCGCGGGAAUAACAAAGAGCCUUUCUGAAUGUGUCUCUACUUCCUUUGCUUUCUUUUUGAAUUCGUUCAAAGUUAAGUAGGGGAAAUUGGCCUACUUGCCGAUUCCAUUCAUAUCAUAGAAGAGGGUAUCCAACUUUGUUACAGUUGUGGGAAAGCCGGUCAAAUUGGCUGACGCCGCCCAUGGAACAACUAACUGGAAUCUAAGUCUCUUUCACUCAAACAAAAAGUCAAAGAAGACAAGACCGAGGCAAUGCAUCUUUAAGGCGAAAUAAGUCAUCAAAGACCAGGAAAGCCAUUCACUCGCUUAGACGAAAAUACGACAUUGACUACUCGACGGACUGCCUCCUAAACAAAACCCAGGCGAGUACGAUAACUUGGUAAGAGAAAAUGGGAAUGAGGCAUUCAACAUUCGCCACUACCAAAAUGCACUAAACCUAGAGAUCUGAAACAAGAGACCUUCUCCUCAUCUCGGAAAUGCUGCUUCACCUGGAUGCCUUGCUGGUGCGCCCAAACCAACCGUUUUGAUCUUUCUCUGUGCUUCUUUCGAGACUUAUAACCUCCCCAUCCCUACGCUCUGCUCUUGCUUGCUUUCAUGUACACGUGUUACCUCUUCCCUACAACCCAUGACAUAUGCAGCUUUCUAUGCCCUCAAAUAGUGGGCCUUUACAGUCUUAGGCUUACCAGCUUUUACAGUCUUAGGCUUACCAGCUAUAGUAGCAGUCCUUCUUUUCCUCAUUGCCACAGGACUCGGGCAAAAACUCGUUGGGUAGUAACUGAAGAAAGCACUUGGGUUGAUAGCCCUAUCACGUAAGGGAGAAGACAGAAUGUGUGAAGCAUACUGAUUUACGGGGACUGGCUAGCUAAAUGGAAUCUACCCUUAUCCAUGAUCUAAGGGGAAAACUCAUCCAGAAAGAUCGUAUCUAAGAGUUCUGUUCCAAUGGCUUUAGCUCAUCUUCUUCCUUGCAUGGUCUUCUUUUUCAUCUUUCUCUUUUUUGGAAUGAGGGCGAUGUCGGUGGUUAUGGCUAUGGCUCCGGGUUCUCGCGUGUUGUUCGAUUGGGCUUUCAGAUAUUUGACCUAUAUCUAUGGUUUAGUGGUCGAAGCGGAGCGGAGCUUCUAUCUAUUGGCGACUUCUUGCUUCUAGUAUUGGUUUCUCGGUUACAGCUGUAUUCUCGACCCUACAUCCGGCAUGAAGAUAGCGGCUUUCAAAGACCUAUAUUCCAACUUAUAUAUGGUAUACUAGGCUGGUGGCCGAAGCCCUUCAUUGGGCAAAGGGUUGGUGUGGCUUAUUCUAGUUUGAGUACGUUCGGGAGCUAGGUGAAGCUUGCUAAUCUAAGAAGAAAGAUUCUAAGAACGACAGUAAUGGAAUGGCAGGAAGGUAGUUGCCGGUACUAAGACCCACCCUCCAAAAGUCAAGUUGGGUCAAAGCUGCAAUUUGGAGAGAGUUGUUGGGUAUCUCGAACACUGCACUGCUAUUUUCAAUCUAAAGUCAAGAAAAAUGGUAACAAUCCCGCUUUUGAGGUGAAGUUCAAGUCAAAGAAAGAAUGCAGAAUGUGGAUUCCCACAAGCCAUGUUUUCUUUUUGUGUUUGUGUAUCGGCGGAUAGUGCUAAGCAAGCCCGUGGCCCAUGGGAGCCAACUGUCUGCUCUGUUGGAAUUUCGGGAACCAAAGUGCGUGCCCUGAAGAGCUUGUUACUAGUUAAAGGCUCAUAUUCCCUUAGGACUUUUCGAGACAAAGCUUAGCCCAAACGAGUCAAGCUUGAAUUUGUAUCCAAUUGGGUAUAGUAUUGGAGAAAGCCUCGGUCGGUUUUGCCUUUCUAUGUAUGGAGGAUAAGAAGGGCGGAGUUAUUCGCUAAGGCGGUUUAGGAUAAUGAUUCAAGGAAGUCUUUAUAUGGAAAUACAGACGUGAGUAAGCACAAUGGAAUAAUGUAGAUGUUUAGAGAAUUGAGUGCCUUUUUCUUCCAUGGCUUUGUGCAGGAGAUUUUCACUAAAUUGGAAAGAUAGAGGAGUUUAGGUCCAGCCAUAAGUUGAAGAUACUAUUGAUAUUGGAUUGGAAGGGGCCCAAUAGCUUCAAAUAGCAGAGAAGGUUAGGCUCUAGUAAGGCUGGACAGAGCUUUGGCCUCGGAUAGUUUCGGAUCAUCUUCUUCUAUUUCGUAACUGGUAUAACAUAGAUAUUCUAAAGAUUUGUCCCUCUACAUCCAUACCAUUCUCUUUUGGUUACGGAUACUUCCCAUCCAGCCGAUUUCCAAUCGAAUCCAAAAUCCAAGUGCUUUUUAUACCUAGGGGAGAUCAUAGGUGAAACUGUUCCCUAAUGGGGUUGUUAUGAAGGUGCUAUUUGCAUUAUGGAAGAAUUCCCUAUUGUAGCUCUUUUUCCCAUAUCAAAUGACUAAACUAAGUCCAAGUAAUGACUAUAAACCUCAUGCAUUUCUUGGUUUUCAAAAGCGGCUAUAAACCUCAUGCAUUUCUUGGUUUUCAAAAGCGGCUAUUUUCGUCUUUCUGAAUUGGGGGAGAACACAAAAGUUUCUUUCACUUUAGUGGGUGGGUAAGAAAGGAAACGAAAGAAUCUGAAUUGGAUGAGAGAUACGGUACGAUGGAUUUGUUACACUAACCGUAAGGACAUAGGAACUCCAUAUCUCAUUUCGGUGCCAUUUCGGAGGUCUAACCACUCCCCUGUUUCUGGCAUGCAGCCAUCAAAGCCAUUAGCUGGGGAAAGCCUCAUAUUCUUCGAAAGUACCUGCUCUGCGGACUAAAUAGUGAUCCAUUGAUGCCAUCACCUUUCCACAAAUAAGGGAUUUCAUGGGAUUCUAUUCUUCUGCCCGACCCUACUUCAUCUUUCCGGACGGUAGAUAGACUAAAGGUUUGCUAAACUUUCCAAUCGCUGCGGACAAGGCUUUCGUGCUAGUAGGAGUCAGAUGCCUCUUUGGAUUACAAACUCAUUAACAAUGCUUACUCACAAAACUAUCACACAAAACUAUCAAGUAAGCGGUUUCUUCUUCUGUUGCUUGUUUAUGAAUUUAGUGCACGAAAACUCAGAAUGGAACCUGAACCCGAGCACUCAGAAGGGAGGUAGAGCAUCGGAAUAGGGCAAGCAAGACUGAUGGGGUGUCAAAGUGAUUCAGAAUUAUUAUACCUGUGAUGUUUGUUGGUGGGUGCCAAUCUAAUAGGGAGAGCUGUUGUCUUAGGCACUGAAUAGUUCAUCCGUAUUAUAAGUGAAAGUCUUAUCGGCAGUAGUCAAAGAGUCCGUUCUAAAUUCAAGCAUUGGUCCCCGGGGACUAAUUCCCUUAUUCCUAAGAUAUAAGAUCAAGUCUGAUCGGUCGGUAUUGGCUCAAGUGCAGUUAGCCGGAGUGCGGGUCUUCUCCAUAGUAGUGGAAUGAUUUGACUAGUGUAAGGGUGGUGGACUGACUUGUUGAAUGAACCUAGUUGUCGACUUGCCUGAUAGCAAAUAGUAGAGGAGUCAUCAAUCAGCGGAACCUUAUUCUUCAAGUCCCGUGUUAGAGCAUCAGUCUUACCCCUGGGCUAUGAAGGUAUAAAACUACAGAUCUCAAGUCUGGGUGUGGGAAGUCAAGGUUCGGAAAGAAGAAGAAUUGAUAGAGUAUGGCUGAGCAAGAAGAUGUUAAGAGCCGAGCAGAGCAAUAGGGUCUAUUUGAUUAAGAAGAAAUGAACUAUUUAAUCACUUCUUAUGUUUUAUGUAGAAAUUCUCAUGUCAUACGCCUAUGAGAGCUUCUAAUGCAUUUAUAGCCUAUCAGGGCUUGUCUACUUAUCCGCUGAGUAAGUCAAGUAUUUAGUUCUAGUAUCGAGUCCAGAAAGUCAGUAUUGCCUGUUUCACAAGUAUAUUUCUUGGGGGUUGUUGGGUCUUCAAGGGGCCAAGAAACUACGUGAGUUGCGCGUCAGUCCGGUCCGGGUGUUGGCUAAAGUCCAGGGUAAACUUCAAUUUGAACUCUUUUCUUUGGUAAUCAUAAUAAGAGGAUUGAUCUGCGCAAAGUGACGUUCGACAAGGAAGUAAAGAGCAGAGCCCAACGAACAAAGCUAUGUGUUUGGUAAAGAGCUCACUGACGCCAUGAACACCAAAAGUAGGACAAACAAGGUGAAGGCCAGUUCCAGUGGCAGAGAAGUCUACAGUUGAAAGUAGUGUUCCAUAAGAAUAAGGAGCAGGAUCCGGAAAGUAUACUAGUGGUUCAACAAAGUCUACUAUCGGAUCAGAAGCUACAAUUUCCAUGAGGCUCGGCUCCUAUCAAAUUAGAUAUGAUCUUUAGAAAGAAUAACGGAUUCCACUGCUUAUGAGUCCGUAGUUGACAACACUGGCACUGCCUCUGAUCCAGCUGAUUCAUUCUCAUUGCCAACAUCAUUGCUUGCACCUUACUUUCACUCACAGAGUUCUAGGAUCUUAAACAUAAGAAGGGAUUACGAGUUUUUAGAGUUCGAGGAAUAAUACAGUAUUCUUGCGUUUAGGCUAGUGCGGUUGAAUACGAUUGAUUUCCAGCCCUAUCGUUAACAGGAACGAGAGAGAUUCAGUCAAUUAAGUAAGCAAGUAGUUCCUAAACUGGAGUGAGAAAGUCAGGUGUAUGACCCAUGUAGUAAAUGCGUUAUAGCAAUGUAAUAUAGGGCCUGCUUCUUAUCUAAUAGUAAGUAAGGGAAUGCGAAGGGAAUGUGCUAGAUCAUACCUUAUUCUCUUAUACGCGCAACUAAUAUGCUUCUAAGGCAACUCAGUAAGGCAAUAAAGUGAUACGCUGCAACAAGUAUUUCUUUGACUCCUGAGCAACAAGGCAAGUGGGCACGGAGGCAAAGGCCCAUAGGGGAGCAUACCAGUAGUUAACAUCCACUCUGUGUAGGAAUGCGCUACAUCGGACCUUCCCUUUGCUAUGACUGAUAUGACUGAUUUCGGUCACAGGCAGUUUCAACAUUUGAUGCGAGUAAUUAUACAGCCUUAUGUUAUGCGCUCUAAACUAUACUGUCUUCCUUGUUGCUGUCCUUCUUCGGUGAAUAGUUCAAUUCGGAGGAGCUAAAGUAUGUCUGGGCCUGGCAAUACUGUUCGAAUAGACCCUCGCUCAUUCUUAUUUUUCUUACCUUGAUACGGGAUAGGAGCGGAAGCUUACUUAUAACUUGCGCGGGGGGAGCUACUGCUAACAAAAGUACUUUCUUUCUUACUGCUCGGCACACAAGCACUUCUGGAACUAUUCCUAUAAAGUCACUUUACUCUGCCCCUACCUGCUAAUAGAAUUAAGUAACUUCACACUUGUUCUUCCCCAUAGGAUGAAACAAGUAAAGCACCCGAAACAAGUAGCUUUCGAUAAGUAACACAUGGGAUAUCAACUUUCUAAUAUCAUUAUUAUGAUCCUUGGCUUCUGCUUGAUACUCUUAUUCUAUAUUUAGAGUAGCGCGCGGGAUACAAUAAGGCUUAACCGAACAAUUCCAAUUAUUAUCUUAUUAUAGGAAUCUGGUCACUAACAAUAAGAAGGUAACCAACCGUGCAUUGAGAGGGUGGGUGUCAAAUAGAGUCUAGUUAGCUGAGAAAGGAGACUGAUAGCAAAGAGGAUAACUGAGCAGCCUGCCCGAGUAUUGGAAGAAAACUAGUAAGUAAACCAGCAUACCCUAGUACGAACUCUUUGGGAGUCCUCUUUGAGCCUCUCUUUUCUUGUACUAAACGAAUGUAUCCAAGAGAAAUAAGAAUAAGCCAGAGCAGGUAUGAGCAAGCCAGAUUAUAUAGGCCUCGACUUGUUGAACCGCCAAGCCAACACCGAAAAAUGCCACUCUUGAACUUAGGGCAUCCAGACCAGUACUCUCUAUUGAUCCGCGCUAACAAAGACACUUAUGAACGGCAACUAUUAGUUUCACCUGACUGCUUACUUGAAGUGCAGAAACAACAACACUGUAAACCCAACCGUCCGGGGCAAGGCCCAGUUUUCUUGAAUCAAAGAAUAGCUCUCAUACUGGGGGAGUUAUCUACUGAUUCUUUCCCUUAACUUACUUCACUUUCCUAGGGCAGCUAACAGACUUUAUCAAGCAUCUUAUACUUAAACAAGGGAUUCCACCAGAACAGUACUAUCGGGAUGAAGACGAAAACUCUACUUCCACUUAUGCUCAUUCACCAAAACACGGGAUUUUGGAUAGCUUCGUAUACUUAGCCAGUACUAUCGGGAUGAAGACUAGAACCAUUAACAUAAGGGCUGGACUACUACCCUGCUGUCAACUAAUGCAAUUCCAUUCUUCUAAUUACUUAUUUCAUUUACUUACUCGUUGAAUUCUUACUGGAAACUAUCCCUCUCCUCUCGCAACAAAGUCGAUACUUUCUGCUUUCCCUGCCCAGCAAGCAUCUUAUCUCUUUCUUGAUCCACAGAUGGAAACUGGACAACUACUUGUUCUUGUCUGCUUGCCCGUAUAUAAAAGCAGCUUGGUUCUUUCUCUUCUGCCCGUUGACCCUGAAACUAGUCGUAUAAGUAUGAGUUAGUUCUUUCGUAGUAGCUUGCCUCAGUUUUGAGUAGUUCCUUGACACGCCAUUGCUCGGCCCUGUAUUCUUUGUUUGUCAUUUCCACCUGCGCCUCUGCAACCUGGAAUUCUUAGACUAAUGCCUUGCAUUCCAUAGCAGCUGAUCCCAAUGCUUUAACUAAUGCUUUUUAGGCUAUCUCGCUAGGGCCGGUAAUAAAAUAAGUCAAUCCCGGAUUGAAACCCAUGUUAACAAGACCGGAGCUAGUGUAAACAAGAAUCUCGCUGCGAACUAGGAAAUCAACUAAUAAUGGAAAGAAUCGAUCCACUGCUUCUCAUAUAAUAGGGCAGUUGGCAAACAGGCUGACUUCCAAAACUAUAGGUCUGACUAUUCUAGCUCGAAAACGGACAUUACCCCGGUUCUAAAUUAUGCCCACGCUCUGCUGGUCUUCCGCUACUGUCUUUGAGUCUUACUUCCGGGGGGUUUUCUUCCUCUUUGACUAUUGCCAGAGAGGCUUACUAUCUUUGCUUUAACCCUAUAAUAGCAGCUAACAAGGCUUCCCUCACUGGGGACUUUGCUGUGAUAUGGAUUCCCCUUCUUUGAUUCUUAUUAUUAUGGUCUUAAGUCUAUAGCUCCUUACCGACCUUUCAUGCUUUAACGCUGCCUUCCAAGCCUAUUGUACGUCCCCCGGCCUUACUUUCUUUAGUUAUACUCAAUAUAAGAAUAGAACUGGUGCUAAUCAGACUUUCUCCUUUACAUAAGGAAAUCAAUUAGUAACUCUCGUACUUUAACUGGGAACUAGGAAUUCCACCAAGUAGCCCAGAGAACCUAAACCAUAUACUGGGGCCGGCCUUUGAGGCUUAUCUGACCAUCUCUAAGUCUCUCUAUCCUAGCUUUCCAGCUAAAACUCAAGUAAGUUAGCCCACCCCUCUUUGCUUACACUAAUACCCCUGACUUUCGUUCUGAACUUCCCCUCCUUCAUUCCCUAGUUACUUAUUCUAUUUCUAAUAUCUAUGCAUGCCUGGGUUUCUUAAUAAUAAGUGGACUUAUUUCUUCUUCAAUUAGGUAUUCUAUUUACUUAUAUGAAUUCUUCUUUUCCCUUAUUUGAAUUACAUGCUUUCCGAGCAGAGAUAUAGGUUCUGGCAAGUAAGAAGUAAACUCUGUGGUUCUAGGACAACAACUCAGUGAACUCACCUCGAAACUCAAGCUAACACAAGGAUCAACAAUACUUUGACUUAUACUGAAAAGAAUGCAACAGGGGCAUACGAUACUUUAACAGGAAACAUAGAAUGACGCUGCUACUGGCAAGAAUCGAAUCAGGAAUACAAGAAUAGAGAGAGCCCGCCCUAACGAAAGGAUUAAAACAAUGCUUACAAGAGUCCAACUCGUAACUGGGAACUCAGGUCUACUCUCUGAGAAUUGCACUAUAGCUUCGAAUACUUUAUCUUCUUGCUUAGGAUCAACCUUAACAACUGCCUGGGGAAUCUAACUCGACUGUAAGAGAAUUAAGCACAUGCAUUGAAGAAUGGAAAUCCGCUGUAGAAGAGAAAAGACCUACUGAGCAUCGGCCUGCCACUGUUAACUCUAAGUCUAAAGAUCCUAUUGCUAAGCUUUUUCCUCAUAGUCAUAGUAAAGAAGCAACCUAGGAAUAAAGAGUUACUACCUACCCGGUGAGGCUGAAAUCGCGGGCUAACAAGCCUUGCACUUUAUAUACUCCAUUCAACGUUUUCAUAGCCACUAGUUAGUUAGUACGUUGCUUGCCCGAUGGAAUCUUUGAUAACGGAAGUCUACCUCUUGUACCUCCGCUCCUAUAACUUCAUUCUGAAAACACAUAGCAAGUAGUAACCUGGUUCUCUUUCUACUCUAGUAUACGCUUGGUCGCUCUUCAAUUCUCACCUGAACUCCUAUUCUGACUUUAUGACUUUUGAGUUUCAUUCUGACUUUAGAGCUAGUAUACGCUUGGCUCUGUUUCUUCACUAGCUUCUUGACUUUCUUUACUUGUCGACUUGCCCUGGUUUGAUAUAACCCGGGGUUGAACAACCGGAUACUAAACUCUACUUUCUAAGCUUGCUUCUUCUGUUUAUUGCUGGCUUACUGUUGACUUUGAAAGCCGUUGUGUUAAGGCUUACUCUCUGGUCGUGGCUUGUUCACUUAUUUUAUAGUGGAGUUUUGGAAGCAAAGCAGUAAUCUCCGAUAGAAGCCGAAUCGAAUCUAUAUCUUUGCGAAUGCCUAUGUAGGUAGCGUAGCGGUUAAGUGGUGUUGUUUCUCAAGGAAUAAUAGUUUGGAAGUGGGAAAGAAGGCAGAGUUAGGAAGUGGGAAAGAAGAAAGCGCUGUAUUAGCAAAAGGGUGUUGAAGCGCGUUGUGAAUCAGUAGAGUUCCAAUAGCCCUUGUUUCAUAUCUUAACCCCGAAACUCGUUAGCACAACUCAACGCGUAACGGAACAAUAAUAAGGUGGUUUUUCCACAUAUAGAGAAUAGUCAAAAACCCGCAUUGCUUUAAGAAUGAAUAUCUUCCAUAUGAAGGAAGAAUAAUACAGUGCUUUUGAAUAGGCAGUGUUUUUCUCUUUCUUAUAGAAUAUAAUGUGCACGACGCGCUUACUUGAAACUUUAUACUUUACUGCAAUCGCAUUAACCACAAGGCAGAGUUGGGCGAGUAGUUGCUAAGUGGUUGCUUGCCUACUAGCUAUGUGUUUUUUGCUCUGGCUCUAUUCUGCCUAACCGAAGAACCAACCCUAGACGACUAUUAGAUUAGAAAGCACUUCCGGAAUUCUUGCCGUUCGUUCUUGACAUUGCUUUUUUCUUGCUCCGCUCGACUCAACGUUGUAUAAGUUAGCACCGAACCAGUACCGUUUACCCUGACUUUAAAGAAACAAGUGAGUAAGGAGAGAGGGAGGCGGUAGGUUACUGAAACAAGUGAGUCAGUAGGUAGGUUCCAAUUAACACUUUACUUGCUCAUAGGAACGUGAUAUUCAAUGAUUUUGAACUCUGUUAAACCAGAGGAACGCUCAAUUCUCUUCUCUUCCUUUUUCACUCUCUUCAAACAAGUCCUUGCGCUUACGCUUAUUGGAGUCAGUGGUCGGUAACUAAGAAAUCCGAAUGAGUUUUUGGAGUAAGUGGUCGAUAACUAUAAAAUAAGAAGAAGAUUCCGAGUAAAGUCACUAUUAUCAGUCAGGUAACUCAGAAGAUUGAUCAUGUUGAUAUUCAACAAACGAGAGGGGAUGAGUAACCCUAUAAUCCGCUCGCUAAGCUUCAUUACCCAGCAGUUAAUCGGUUAGGGCAAUGUAGUUAGUUGGUUCUUCAAAGUGUAUAGUUUUCGUUUCCAUUCCUAGAGUUCGAACAUUGUCUUUACAAACACUUCUAUACCAUAACCAUAUGUUCGAUAAGAAAUUCCAGUUUUCGGCGCUAACGCUAGUUCUAUCACUUACUUACUGCCCGGUCCUACCACUUACAGCCCGGUCAACUCUUUGCCUGACUGCCCGGUCCAACUCUACCACUGACUUCCUCGGCGCAAGAAACAAGUGUCGUUUUUUAGACUCCAAUUUCUACGAACAGCCAACACCGAGAUGAGAUUAUGUUGCAAGAGAAGUAUUUAGUCUCGUAUCAAGUCUGGUUGUGACCUAUCUACUGGAGUAUUUCGUUCCUUCAACCCAACCCCGGACCGGUAACAGGUUAAGCAUUCGAGAUAGUAGCUCGAUUCUACAUAGGGUGUUUUCAGCCUUAGAUGUUCUUGUUGGAUUCUCUUAUUUAGUAUAUUAGUUUGGUAUCCUUAUUUCUUUGCUUAAUGCCGGGUGUGCUACAUCAUAUAUCCUAAUUUACCCAACAAGGAGUGAAAAUAUGUAUUUCGAGUUGAGCUCUGACUUCAUAGUCGACAUUCCCUUAAGUAAUAUAGCUCCUAUCGAAUAAUAAUCAUGAAACUAAGUGAACGGAAAAAGAAGAAAAAGUCAAACAAAACUUCCACUCUAUCUCCGGAUAUAGUUGAGGCUUCCCGCUAUUGAUCCAUAUUCCAUACGUUGCUUGCCCAUAGCGAAUCUGUCUGCCCCUUCCCGAACUAUCUCUUUCAUCGACUCCUAGCAUUGGUGCUGAGGAAAUUAUCUGAUUUCUAAUGUGUGGCUAGUGUGUGGAUAGCCUGUUCUGUGUUUUCAAUGUCUUAGAGCUAUGCCGGGGAUCUGUAUGCGACAAACAACAUAGAGUUUCUCAAUGCUCACUUCGCUUUUGCACCAAUGAACUGACUUUUGUUUGGAAUCUAUUAUUAUAUAUAAAUUCAUUAUGCUAUUACUUUGCUUUGGAACCAAUUAUGAAAUUCGAAUAUUCUAAUUAUCCUCUGACUUUACCAAUGAUUAUAUUACUUACCCAACGAUUCUAUUACUUCACCCAUUAUUCUAUUACUUAGUUGUUUUCUUGAUUUACUAGUUUAGAGCGCUGGACUCCGAUGCAGUGUUUAAACAAUUAGAAACAGGAGUGUUAUAGACAGCCUAGACAUUGAGGUCAGUAGGGGAAGAGUGAGUGUUUGUGGGGUCAAUCUUAUAGGUGUGUUGGUUUUCUUUCCUUAUUUCUAGUAUCAAUGCGGUAUUGCUAGUUUUUCCAGUGAGUCAGUACAGGUUAUAAGCAAAGAGUCUAGGGCUAAUAUGUCUGUAGUAGUAGCAGUCCCAUCAGCAGUAGCAGGGUUCUUCUUAUUGGUAUUGGGUUUCCUAGUUGGUAGGUAAUCCUUGUCAACAACCUGUUCUAUUCUAAUGGUGACUUACCGCAUCUCUGCAUGGUAGGUAUAUUCUUUCUCCCUUGUUUCAGCCCUAUCGGCAGUAAUGGAUUUCUUGUUAACACCAGUAUCUGUUUCGGAGGCAGGCGCAUAGUCAGCGAAGGCAGACUCAAUUAGCAGCAGGUGUACUCAACUCAAUCUAAGAUCUGGAUCAGUAUUUAAACAAUAAAAGACAGGGACAGGAGAGGCGGACACUAAUAGGUGAAAUACCGAGUUAAGGUAAGUAGUGUGGCAUACAUCGAGAGAGGUGAGUUAGGUUUCAAGCAAAGAAGGUAGGCUUAUUAGGCAGGAGUCUCAGUCUAAUCAGUACUAUUUUCUUUCUUUAUUGUAAGGUCAAGUAUUGUGUACUAGGGUGUUUCAGAACGAAAGCUCGGAGGGCAUACUGAAUCUACUAAUACAGAUGUUAGGUAAGGAGGGGAAGAGUCAAACAAACAAGUAAGAAGAAAUAUCCGUAGCACAAGAAAGCAAGUCAAUAGUCAAAGUUUGAAUCAACAGGUAAGUAAUGUAGCUAACGAGCUCCGGGCUGAGUGGGAGAAAGUCAAGACAGAGGUUCGAUGCCAGUAGGUAAAGCCUAAGCUAUGUAGUGACAGUAUGAGAAGCGCUGGUUCUAGUAGCCGGGAAGGACUGUUUUAGGUGCAGCAGUGAAAUAAGAAAAUCUGGAUAGUAAGCCCUAUAUUUAGUAGUUGUAGAAUCAAAGCAAAGAGAUAUAAGCUCAUAGGCUGUAAAGUGAUACUUGCAAUAUGGGUUGGUAGCCUUAAAAGCGGUAGGCUUAGCUAAGAGCGUAGGACUGCUGGUUCCAAUCGAGAUUUUGGAUCAGGAGUUGCCGAGGGGAAAUACAGAGUGAAGUUCGGAAUUGAAAGACUGAGGUAAAGGAAUAGAAGACCAAUACGAUAGCUUACACCCCACACGCCCAGCUACUUACUUGCCUUGUUCUGACUUUCUAGUUGGAUGAUCCCUGUGAGAGCAGUUAAGUGCUUCUGCCCGAUGCUAUAGUUAAGGUAUUAAUUCACUGAUUCCCUGUCGUUAGGUUAACAACCAGACUUCACCGGGGUAUAGUUACAGACUUAAACUAAGCCUUCCCCGCACUGAUACUAGUGAGGGAGUCCACUGAUUCCCUGGUAGACUAUAGGGUAAGCCCACCGAUUGCCGAGUGAGAGUAGUAAGUAGAAGACUCAGAGACACCCUAAUAAGGUAGGGUUACAGAAUAGAACUAGAUCCAAUCAGACUAAAACCACUAACAAGCAGAACGAAACGGGUGAGGAAGCUUUAUCAACAGAAUAAGGGUUUCAUGAAUAUAAGAAUAAGGUUCAAAUAAGAAUCUAAGAAUGAAGUUGAUGGGUUUCCGUUUUCAAGUAAGAGACCGCUGACAAGUAAUUAUGAGUUACUGAAUGAAACAAGCCCAGCAUGCAAAGGGGAAGGAAAGAAAGAAAGUCCGCUCUGAUUCAAGUAGAGAGGAAAGAGUGAGCACAGAGGAGAGGGAAUAGAAGCAGUAUGAGUUAGUCUCUUGAGCACCUGGGUGACUUUCAUCUUAUAUAGAAGCCUCAUCCACUCUUUGUUGAAUUAGUUUAAGCCAGCGGACUCUUCUCUUUGAAUUGAAUAUCUCCUUCUUGUGGCGAAAUACAGACUAGUUGGGCCUGGGCCUGGCAAUACUGCUCGAAUAGAACCUAGCUCAUUCUCUGGUAACUACCCCUGUGCUCCUGCCUUAAAGAAUAGGGUGGACUUACCACAACUCUGAUAAGACUUAGAAUACUAGUCAAAUCAUUCCACUAUCAACUCGUGUGAACGGGCUUUACAAGACUUAUGGAGCUGGGCGGAUUCAAUAAGUCUAGGCAGAUAUAUAAGUUGUUUGAUACCUUCUGUAGUAGCGGCGGUGAACUUGCCUAGUUGCGGUGAAGCUGUUUCAAGAUCCGAAUAAAGAUCAUAAGCAAUUAAUGCAGCUGUAGAUUCAAAGUAAGGAAAGGAAGCAAGAACAAGUACUUACGGUGUUUUUUAGCUUAGAGUUUGUAUUGAGUCUUUACUUAAUUCUAUUCUAAUUAUAGGUAAUUCUAUGAGGUUCUUCUCUAUUUUCUUCUUUUUAGCAGUAGCAAUAUCUUAUAUGUGUGUAUUGGAUCUGCUUGUUAACUGAAAUAGUAGUACCUUGUCUUUGAGCGUCAGUCAUAACGAAAUAAACACUGUACGGAGAGUCAAAGAUGGCACUAUAUGAGACACAAGCACUGUACAGAGAGUCUAAGAAUUCUAACCUAUGAUAUUAGCACAGUAUGAGAUGAGCAUCACUGUAUGAUGUGAGCGCACAGUAAACGAUUAGCACUGUACCGAGCUGUACACGAUUAUCACUGUACCUUGAUGGGCACUAUACCCGAUAGAGUAGUAAUUAACCUCGUCAAGCAACGUCAGCGGGUGAACACGAUUAGAAUUAGUGGAAUCCUUAAUCGUACCUACAUCUGGCUUCCUAAACUUUAGGGCAGCAAUAGUCGCAAGCCCUGUCUGUUAGUCCUUUAUUGAUAGCUCUAUGUCAGGGCCUAUAUAAUGUGUCACUAUUUUCGAGAACGAGGCCAGUAGCCGACUUAUCUUGACUCGCCCGUACCCUAUGAAUUUCUACAGGAUCGAUGUCAUUGUCCCCAACUCGCAAAACUAAGUCAAGUCGAAAGUGCAGUAUAUAUUAGGUAAUAUUCUCAAUUUCUAUAUCAUCUCUAUAAUGUGGUCGAAGGGUUUCAUUCCAUUCUUGAAGUUGCUAGAAAGUGGUAUUUGUUCAGGCUUCAGUGCUCAGUGGUACAAUUCAAGCAUAAAAGUCAAGUAAGUAUGCCCAAUAUUAGAAGAUGGUCAAGCAGCAAUUCCAGUUAUUGGCUCAAGGGAGAAAGAGAUGAAGCCGUGUUGGCCGACUAUACUCCUUACGCGCAACGGCUUGCUGAUUGUGAAGAGAGUGCACCACUGCUUUCAGGUAAAGGCAAGGGUAAGUCCAGAGCGGAGCUAUAGGGCUAAUAGUGGAAGAUAUCGUAGAGGUUCCUGUGAAGGUGCUGGGCUUUCUUUCUCUUUUUUGUUGGGUUGUUAAGGAAACGUAAAGUAUUGUUUCAUCAUAUAUAGAAGAAGCCUAAUAAACUGUAGCAGGAGUAGUUACAGCAGAAGAUGGAUAAGAAGCGAGCUGCCCUUAAGUUCAAUGGGUCCGCCAGACAAGCAAGCCGGACAGCCAAGUAGACAAGCCGACUCUCCCUUCACUGUGUUGGCAGUGAGAGCAGUAUUGCACUAAAUGAGGUACCCAGCAUAUAACCUUGUUAGAAUAUUACCAUCCAGGACAUUAUGCUGCUGAAGAUCUGGCCUCUUCCUUACCUGCUUAUACUUGCUUAUGGACCAUAUCCUCUACUUAGGCUUAAUGAAAGGAAAGUACAGACGAGUGCAGAGAUAACUGGCUUCAUUCAAGUACUGACGAGAAUGACAUGUAUUUUCUAUUUGUAUUCAUAUCUUUGGAAUCUCCUAUCGGGUACUUCGCUUGCGUAGAUAACUCCUUACGCGAGAUCACCUUUUUCAUUUCAAUUUGACUCUCUUGCUGAACAUACAACUUGUAUACCAGCUCCCGAAAAAACACUUUACAAAGAGCUGUAGGGACCCAAGAGACUUUAUGGAUUAUGAGAAAACUCCUAACACGGAACUUAGCGGAUCAACAAACAAUGGAAAAACUCUCAUACUAUUGCAUAACAGGAAGGAGCAAGAAACAAAAACAGUGAAAUCAAUUCAAUGAGGAACUUCAAGUGGUGUUAGAGCUAAAGGUUAACAAACAAUACUUUUCUUUCGUAAUUCUAGCUUACUUUAUACUAUUCCUUGCGCCUUCGCAUUCUACUCUGUCUUCAAUUCGAUUUAUAUACACGAUUCUAGUCCAACUUCAUUGAUUGCCGCUGACUUCCCAACUCUACUUAAACAUGCAUUUUCUCUAUGAAGCUCUGAAGCAUAAGAUCCUUAUUCCGUCCGAUCCUUAUUCUAUGCCUGUGUACUCUCUCAUUCUCUCGUAGCCAAUGGAUUCUUUACCAUAACUUGACUUUACCCGCUCAGCUCACUCCUAUACGGGUCCUGGACUUGAUACCCUAAAAAGCUUUGAAUCUUGAUAUCUUCUCCACCAAACUAUCCUUGAACUAGACUUUCCUCUGCCUCUGAUCCGGAACAGGAAUGGAAACGGAGUAAGGUGAGCUUAGAUCCUGUCAAUACGGAAUUGAAACAAUCCCCUCUCUGACAUGAAAGAAAUGUCUUUGUGCCUCUCCUAUCUUGUGGACUUAGGGCAUCAAAACCAUGACGAAGAAAUAAGGAUUCGCCUGUCUUCAUUAACGGAAAGGAUAGGUCGGGCCAGUAAGGGAACCAUCAAGCAUAAACUCCUUUAGCUUAAGCCACUAUGUUUAGAAGCCUUAAGUGAAUGAGUUGACCGGGCAGAGUCAGUAAAAGAACUCGCGUUAGUACCGUGAGCACAAGGGCUUAGGGAUUUACUAAAGUUGUUCAGUAUGGGUUCGGGGAAGAAGUCGGGUAUUCUAGUUCCAUGAAAGGAGAGGUUGGUAAGGGUGGUGGACUUCAAGUUUGACCCCAACGAGCAACUAAACGACAAGAGCUAAGCAAGAAGGAGUGCUGUCAGCUGCCCCAGUUCAAGAGUCAAGGGUAAACCGGAAAUAAGUAGAAGGGUAUAAAAGGGUCCAUUCUAUAAAUCUAAGGAAAGGAGGAGCACAAAGAAUAAGAAAUAGAAAUCUAAGGAAAGGAAUAGCAUAAAGAAAUGAGUAUUUUAGAGGAAGAGCGCUAAGAAUCAUUUUAUGGGCAAUACAUUUGAACAGCUUCUCAGGUCUGAGAUGAGAGAUUAUAGCCAUCCCCGCCCAUAAGAUUUGUGGAAAAUGGGUGUUAUGACACGGAUGGAAUUGCCUGGCCUUCUCAAGCCCCUUUUGUAGUGGUACAGAAAGUGAAGUAAUUGUCCUGCUAUAAGCUCCGAGUGAGGGCAAUCAUCUAGUAAAGUGAAGGGAAGGAAUCUAGUAAUGGCUAUCGAUUCCAGUUAUUGGCGACAUCCCCGUAUUGAGCUCCUUAGCUAUACAUGUCUAUACGUUGCUUGGCCCUGAAGUUCGUGAGGAGUAUCGAUCAGAAGCUUGAGCAAGACCAGGAGCAGAAGAUUGAUAAGGAGAAGAAUAGAGAUCAAAAGCUGUGAGAUCAGUUCUAAGUAAGGAGAGUCGCUCACUUAGCUGAAAACGGAUAUUGACCCACGUAAUGCUUAAGUAUGAAAUCAUCCGCAAGCGUUUCUUUACGGAAAAGUGUCCCUUCAGUGAGUGCGAGUUACGCCUAAUAUCUGACUUGUUUACUAUGAUAUAAGAGCCACAACACUUGUUUCUUGCGUAGAAGCAGCAGAUCUGAUAACUCCUAAAGCACCUUGUAAAACAGUUCUUUCAUAUCUCUCUUAUCGAGCACAUGGUCAAAAAAGCAGUAACCAACUAUCUAACUGUUCUUCUUUUCUGCAAUUCAAGGUUAGAUUGCGCUAUAUGCUUACCCUAUUCUUAUAUUAUUGAGUUGGCGCGAAGCAAGAUCUUGAGAAGAAUCAUAAGAUAAGCAGGAGAAUCUGAUGGAAAAGAGAAAGAUAGGGAAUUCGUAAGUAGUGUGAUCGGUAACAACUCUUCUUGUUGGUUACAUUGCUUAAUGUCCCCCUAUAGCUGGUAGAGUUCCAUAAGCCGAAUCCAAGUAAAAGUGCUUAUGCCAAACUAGCAUAUUAAGCGAUAUGAAGAAAGUACAUGCCCUUAAGUGCUUUUGGUGUUGAUGCUGUAGUUGCUCCUUCGCAUCCUUGUGUUGAUGCUGUAGUUGCUCCUUCCUAGUAGAGUAUCCUGCAGUUCGCCCUGUUCCACUUAUAUCGUAUGUUGAAGCGGAAUCGACUCCACAAUCGCAUUCCCACUAUUACUAUGCGGUGUGUGAAGCAUAUAUUGACGGUGUUUGUGUGUCUCUUGACUCUAGAUCUUAAGCAUAAGAAUGAAAGUAGACAAUCGGUUCUGCAAGUGAAGUGGAUUACGGGGAAGGAGUUCGAUAUCCGUCUAGUCUCACUCAAAUGGAAGGAGGGAUAGUCGAAUUCCACAUCUCUUAGGGGCACUGAGUAUAUGGUGUAAGUCCUUGCUGUGUUCGCUAGGCCACCCGCCUGAAGCGUUGAAGAUAUAGAUAGAGAAUUCUAGUUGCUUGUUUAUUGAUUCGGCGUAACGAGUGAUAGAGAUAGAUACCUUACGAGGGUUUAAGGAAAGCAGUUCGUUCAGGAUGUUCUACUUUGUCUUCAAUCGGGCAAGCUUUCAUCACAUAUGAGGAUUUGGACUCUAUAUUUGGCUAUUCCCACUUAACGGUUAAAGACUCACAAAGGGGCGUAGCGCUUGAGAAGGAAUAAUACCGCCUAUUUCCUAAGCAUGGCGAGUCCGUAUCGGGUCAGCUUCCAGCAGAAGCGUAUUUGUUUUCCCACGCUGCUCACGCUUAACCAAAUAACUAAAAACAAGGAUUUGCUGAUCUGAUUAAAAGAAGCUCCCUACGAUCGCAUCCUAGGUGAGUUCAAAUGGCAAGUGGAAUGGUCUGGUUCCACUGAGCGGCUAAAAUCACCCCCUUUAACACGCAAGUAAACAACACGCACAAUCAAGUACUCCCUCAUUCUCUUAUUGUGCCCCGACUCCCUCAUUCUCUUAUUGUACCGGCAGGCCUGGGCGAGCAAGGGAUCAGAGGGCGGCGGACCAAAGGGUCUUUCAAAUAGCGUCUUUCCACUUGUACCAUCCCUGGGAUGGCUCCUGCCGCGUGAACAUUUGUCUUCCCUUACUAAUACUAAUGUGCAAUCAUUCCCGACCGCACAUGCAUUUGCAAAAGAUUCUAACAAAAGCAGGUAAUCCCCACGGCCAUUCUCGGCAUCUUCACUAAUGAGCCAUUCUUAUCCUCUAGGCUAACAGAACUCCAUUUCAUCACAACUUCCUUUCUUUUGUGCCUAUGAGCUUUUCCUCUUUUCCUGAAAGCGCCUAGGAAGUGGGGAUGCGCUUGAUUCUGCUCCAGCUCACCCUUAUUUCUUUACACGUUCUCAUUCCAAGGGUAAGUAUGGAUUCUACCGUAUCGGAGUUUUGAAUCAAAAUGAGGUAACCUUUGAAGCAUACCUAUAAUUUCAUACUUUCCUGUGUCAGAGAAUACGCAUCCAUCUGGUAUAGAUGUAUUAAUAUGGCAUAUGGCUAAGUAAAUAAUUUCCACAAGGGGGAGAUGAAAGUACAUACAUAAGUAAUAAAUGACAUCAAAGACUAUUCGAAUCAAGAGGGAAGGCUUCAAUCAAAGCCAAAUAUAUGCUUAGAAUCCGAUGGGUAGUUGACUCUAGAAAAGCAAAGAAUGGGAUUUUAGGCCUUGGCUUAAAUUGUGGGAAAUUCCAAUCAAUCCUAGAAGACCUUCCUAUCCACCCGAUCCGGUAUAGCGUGAAGCUUUGCUUUGUAAAAUGAAGCUCUAAGGAAAUAGCCAAUUCAAAGGUGGGUUCAGUCAUACUCAGCUUACAGCCUAAUUCCAAUCGAGGUUCCAUCUUUGUACGAAAAGUGUUCAGCAAGAAAAGGGAAAUCCAGAGUGAGAAAGAGAAAUAUGUCUGAAUAUAUACAAACAAAAGAAGGCAUCGGACAGGUAAUGCCAGGUAAGGCAUGAGUAGGAAGACAUUUCCUUCCAUCUAGGAAUACUAAAGAAAAGCUUUUGCCGAAGCAUGAGGGAAUAGCUGAGUACAUGGAUCUCCACAGGUACGGCAUUCCGCUUUGCUUUUAUUUAGCCUGGAGUCAAGCUCUCCUAGAGUGGUCGGGAUAAGAUUUCGAAACCAGUGCGUGCUUUAAAGGGCUGUCUCACUACUUACUAGAUCAGGCGAUAUACCUACUUGACUAACUAGGCACAGGAAAGGGCUAUAGUAUACGGGUUGGUUUUUCCAUUCCGUCCUUUCUGAACUGACUGAUUGCAAGCGGGCGGCUAUCGCUAUCGAGAAACUUGAUAAGGUCAAGAAGAGCAAUGAAAGUCAAGGUGGAUAAGCAAUGGGCUUGAAUGAAAGGAUUUUUGUACCAUCUCUUUGCAACUACAAUGCAAUUGGAUGGAAUAAAGUGGAUUGGACUCAUGGAUCCGCUGUUGAUUCCGUCCCUGUAUCCUCUUACAUUUUGGUGGAGUUAUUGUGUUCUAAACCAUCGCCUUCUGCGCUCUCGUGUCCAUAAUAUGGCUAAAUUCUGAAGCGUUAAACGUUUGGGACGUUCCAACCUCUGCGGGCAGUUCUACACGGGCAUAGUCAUUGUAUUUUGCAAGAAUCCCCUAAAUGGCUAAAUCCUUCGCUGCCGGAAUUGACCGCGUCUCUCUUCUCUGCCUUACUUCCUUUCUCAGGACAGGACGACCUCACUGAAUCCCUAAAACGCCUGCGCUCGGCUUUACAUUUCUAUCCUUGAAGGAGUUCGAUAUCCGUCUAACUACAAUGGUUGAGGGAAAGUAGAAAAACACCUUUCAUUGAUUGACUUCGCUAGAAAAGCCUUGAUAGAUCCAUUACAGUCAGUAGGUUCGAAUCCUGUCCCCGCCUAAUCAUCUCUGAGGCCGUAGUCAGCCUACAUAUUUAGGGAUUCCGUAAGUAACUCGGUUAAUGUGCCUUUUCUCAUCAAAUGAACUACGAAGAAUCGUGCGUUCAAUAUGGAACCCGCAAGUAAUACGCUUUAUGAUUCGUUUUGUGCUUCUGUUAGUGAGUUUCGUUGCUGGUUUUUUCUAUAGUUUUCUAGGCUCAGAAGGAACCGCAAUAAUGAACACUCCCGCGAGAUUCUCCUUCUUUUAUUCGUGAUUUUAGUGGUUUGUUUUUACUCCCUUUUAAGCUUCUUCAUUUGACAAAGGAUUGUCGCUCUUUAUUAGGUGUGACAACAGCCUUAUCCACUUUGAUUUGUCAUGUAUGUGGUCUUCUGGAUCAUCGAAUGAAAGUGCAAAUUAUGGUGUAUAAUGGGGGGGCUUGGAAUGAAGCUAAGGAAGGUGAGAAUGGAAUUUUCUUAAAGAAUGUCAGAAUGGAGUUAUACGGUAAGAAACAUAAUUCGGGGAGUCGGAAACUUCAUCAUAUAAAGGAAAGUCUCCACAAGGCCUAAGGUUAAUUACAGAGGCCUAUUGUGCUUACGGAGCUAGCCGAGAUCUACUUGUUAUCUUCGCGUAUAAAGUGCAGUGGUAUCUUCGCGUAUAGAGUGCAGUGGGGGAGCUUUAGUGUGCCGCUUAAGUUCACCUUUUCUUUUCUUAUAGACAACAUUCUUGUUACUUACCGAUGAAGACAGUCAGGCCAUACCUAGACCCUUCCAUGUAUACCUCCUUGCGUCGACAGCAACAAUCGGUUCAUCAAGGAGAGUGUUGAGGUCGACACUUAUGGUUAAUGCUCUAAAACAGUAUAUAUAGGGUUUAGCAUUGUACUUAAUUGAUUCUAUUAUAUAUUCUUUGGCUUUUCAACUCUAAAUCAGCAGACAUUGCACUAGCCCCUAAACUAUCAAGUUCUCAUUUCAUUGUGGAAUCUUGGCUUUUAAGAGCUCUGGUAGUAGCGGCCAGUUCUGUUGGCUACGAGUCUCUUGUUGAGUUCGACAGAAUUGAAUGAUCAACGACUGAAGCAGCGCGGGCAAGAGAAGCAACUAGGCAUUAGUGGGGUGUUUCUUGGAGUUCCAGUUUUCGUUCCUAAUUUGGUCAUCGGUGUUAGCGAGUUUAGUUACAUGGUUUACUUACUUGAUUGAACACUGGCCAAACAAAGUCGCUUUAGAAGUAUAAGGUCUAGGUGCAAUUCGUUUCUACCCCGGGAAAGUCGCUCGCGUUAGCGUAAUUGGAGUUCGAGCAAAGGUCGGUCUGCGAGAUGAGAUAAGUUAUUGGGGAAGAAAGCAGACAAGACGCGUCACGGCGAGGAAAACAUGCAUUUCAAUAUUUCACUUACGCGCAUACCAUCCAUAGAAGAUAGGAAUGGAACUGCUCAUCUAACAACUCAUUCAUUUCCAUUUUCUUGCUUAACUAAGUCUUGUGCCGCGCCCGAACUAGCUUUGAAGAAUAUAUUGCUUACUGACUUUCUACGGCUUAUAAAUAGGAUUUCACUUCCCUUUGUUAUUACCGAGUCCGACAACGGGAUGAGCAACAUUGUAGCGAAUGAAGAGAUAGACUUGAGUGGAACUGCAUCGAUUCGGCUUGCAACUGACACUCGAACAGCUUAAGUGUCUAGUGGGGCAUUCUUAGCGGAUCUACUUUACUCCCCUUUAGACUCGGGAAAGCUGUCAACUCAAUCUACUUUAACUCAACUUCCAGUUAGCGCAGAUCAAUCCUCUGAUGAGGUUAUACGACUCUCAAUCUUUGCGUUCAAGCCUUUUUUCCCUGACUUCUGAAGUGCUAAGUCAAUCAGCGUGCACAGGCUCCUUCUUUAUCUGCUUAGUUUCUGGAUUGAGUUCGCCGCACCGCACCUUUGCUUUCUAAAGAUACCUUCCUUUGUUCUGUGCUCUAUCAGCUUCCUUCUUCUUUGCCGCUACGAUCUUUCCUUGGUCAGGUCUUCUGCUCUGACUGCAGGCUCUGCUUGCUCUAUCAGCUUCCUUAAAGACCUAAGUUGCAUUUCGUACAACUAAACUUAGCACAACACUGAGUCUUGCGCCGAACUUAUCAUUCAUUGAAAUGGAACUUUCGCUACUUAGUAUUGUUGCCCAGAAGUAAGCAUUAGCACGGAGUCUUGCCCGAACAGGACUUGUGGAACCAACUGUCAUAGUUAAUAUCGGUUAGAACCUGGACUUGUGGAACCAACUGUCAUAGUUAAUAUCGGUUGGAACGAGCCAUUCACACGUGAGCACAUCUCCCCAUAUUGUAUUCUAAGGAGUCAUCUCCCCUCAGAAAAUAGAUAAUAAAGAGAUAGAGAGGAUAUCCAUUACUGGUGCAGAGCAAUAGUCAAUGAAGCCGCGGGAAGAAGAUAAAAGAGAGGCGCACUGAUGCCUUCUAUAAAACAGGAGUGCUUCUCUUUCACAGUAUCGUAUUGUAUCCUCAUUGAAUCUUCUAUCUCCAAAAGAUGGUAAACGGGGGAUAAAUGUCAUAUAAUGGUCGCUCUUACUGUCUGUAAUCUACUUUCUUCCUUCUGUCUGGAAUAUACUUUAUUGGUCUUUCUUUUGAAUAUACUUUAUUGAUCUGGUUAAAGCUAAUUUCCAUUCUCUGUGAAUCCCUACACACUGGACUCGCUCUUGAUUGACUCUUUCCAAAGAAAUAGGAAAAAGUGUGUGACACAUGUCCUAACCCACAGAUUAGCUUCCCUCUGUUCAUUGUCUCAGUCAUUCUUGUCAUGACCAAUCAAUCGGAUCUCAAGAACACCUCCCUGGAUUCAAAGCGCAUUAAGUAAGUAGGUCCGCUCACUUUAAUACUCCUCCUUUAUACCGCACUCAAUGAAUAAGAAGUGGAAAGCAAGACCGAAGCAAAGAGAAAGAGAUUCCAUAUUACUGAGCUAGAGCGGGCGGGGCGGCAAACUCAAGCUUCAAAUCAGAGAGAGCAUACUGCAGCACACAAAAGAAAAUCAACCUUAGCCUAUACUAUAAAAGGAGCUAGACCUUUUGUCCCGUUCUAGAAACCGGUGCCUUUGCCUCUGUCCCUUUAGUGCUUACAUUGAAGUGAAUGCCCGCAAUAAUGCUUCUGUUUCUUCUGUAGCUUGUUUAGUUGUGAUAGAAUAAGGUCAAGUUUGUCUCGACGAAAUGAAAUGUGGAUAUAUGCGCUCUCUCAAGCUGUUAAGAACAAGACCAUACUAGAAGUCGAGCUCUUUUCCAUCUUGCACAUGGUAUUCCAAUUGAAGCUGAAAAGGUGUGUAAGAGGAUUAGGAUUGAUUCGGAUUCUCUAACUUAAGUAAGAUAUGGUAUACUCUCAAGAUCCCUUCGUCCACAGCUAAGGAAAGCCUAUUCUUCAUAAGAUCAAGCACGCACUAGUUUCUUGGAUUUGAUAAUCUCCCAACCUUUUCCGAGAAGCAAACCAACCCCGGCCUUAUUGCAAGCUUGGACUAUGCGGUUGGUAGUAUACAUAUUGGUUCUUCUCUUUUUCCCUUCCAUUUUGGAAAGUGAGUUUCAGAGGAUAGAUCCAGGAAAUUGUACAUACUAAUGUCAAUCUUCAUUCCAUUUUCAUUAAUACACAGGUAAGUAAGGGGUCGAUCGGGCUAAUCCCAAAGCUUACCCACGAACUGCUGCUAGUAUUGCUGCUGCUCUACGGAUCUUCUAUCUCUUCGGCCUCACACGGAACCUUCUCAAAGACUCCUUUUGCACUGAGAACACAAUGAAUUACUUUACUGAGAACAAGAAAGCAAGUACGUUGGUUUAUAUGGAAUCCUCUUUCGCAUCCAGAGAAGAGAGGGGCUAUCCGAGAGAGUGGUUCAGGUGACUACCGGAGUCAUUGAUUAAGCAGUAAAGAUGGGCGGGCUCGAACCUACAAUAUCACCGUUAUGAGCGGUACUCAUGAAACAGGAAGCCCCCACUGAUCUAUCCAUGCAAUCCCUUUCGGGAAGAGCGGACAGAAAGAGUAGACCAGACCCCUUUGCUCUAUCCGCUUAUUCCUCGGGCCCCAGCAGGGGUUCUUUGGCAAGCCAUAUACAAAAGAAGCUAAGUAAUGCCAAGUAGUGAAAGAAGCUAAGUAAUGCCAAGUAGUUAGUUUGAGAGUUACCGUUAGGGCGACUACUUCUACUUCUAGGCGUUGACCACCAAUAGUCUUAUUACGCAAGACGGCUUAACUCGAUUCAGGAUUUCAAUAGAACAAACAAGCCCAGCGACAAUAGUGGCUCUUCUACUUUUUGGUGUAGUUUACCCUACUAUUGACUCAAGGUAAGACCUAUUACUCAAGGUGAAUAGGAAGAAGAGGGAAGCCUUACCUAGUAGGUGAAUAGGACGAACAGGGAAGCCUUAGCUAGUUGGAUGUAAGCUUUAGUUGUUUUGGUACUUUUGAACUACGUCGUUUAUUGUUAAAGUAACCGGAUGUUCACCGGCGGGUCACUUUAGAUAGAAAGAAGGCUUUCACUUUCCAGUUCUCCGCGGGGGCGCUAUCGCAAUCUUGUUCGCUUUUGUUAACUAUAAGAGAAGUAGCGCGCCAACUAACUGAUAGCUGAUGGAGCGCGCCCCGUUUGAGUCUAAGUGAGCGGGGAGUCAUUUGUUUAUACUGUACUACUACUCACUUCAAUCAUGUAUACUGUAAAACUACUCAAAUCAAUCCAAUACAGAGCCCUUCCACUAAUAUAGGCCCACGCCCGCGCCCUAUCCUAUAGUCAUUCGCGCUAGCACAACGAGAAAUAAGCGUAAGCACAAGAAAACAAGUAAACAAACACCACUAUUGAGGUUUGUCGGCUCGCUAAUGAAACCGUCUGUCUUAAUCUUCAUCCAUUCCUUUCCCGGUGGUCAACACACAAUACAAGAUAUGUUCCUUUUUGAUCGGAUUGAGACACAAGUCCCAUUUUGCUAGGAUGCUCGUCUUAUUCUUUCUCUUAUAAAACGGGGAUACUAGCUUCUAAUCUGCUUAGCAAAUCCUAUAUUCCAUUAUGCUUUUUGAAAAUGGACCUCAAAGAUGAGACUAUAACAUUUACGCCAAAAUGUGCCAGAGCAAGUGAAAGGCAAGCCAGCCUACCCACUGUGUUAACUUGCCAAGCCCCAACAAAUCUGCUAGGCAUUCGAGUGGAGCUGGGAAACAAGAAGCUCUUAUUUCUCUUUAUUGACUAUAUUUAUUGUUUGUUUGUGCCCAAGAGAAAGAUCAUUUGAAAGAGCCAAAGCCGUAUUAAUUAUCCGUGUGAAACUCCCAUAUUCGGAUAGAGUCCAAAUGAUUGCAUCUUAGGACGAGACUCAAUUCCAUAGCUACCAUUAGUUUCCAUGCAUCUUUCAUCUCGGGGGAUGUUAGAAUAGGGCCCAUCUACACAACACGAUAGCUUAAGCAAAGAGUAGAGAGAGCGUCGCUAUCAAUCAUACUCAAAAGAUAUGAAAAAAGCCGCAUACCAUAUACUUGUUUAAAUCACACUCUUUUCUUUGUCUGUCAGCGAGGAAAUAGGAACAGCGGCUUAAGCCAUUAGGUGUAGGCUAGGCGCUUGGCCGUUUGUAGCAGUAGCUUGGCCCCCUUUCUGUUAAUCUGGAAAUUGGAUCUCUGGAGCACCCGUAGAAGUCAUAUUCCCUGCCUCAGCUACUUAUCUAAAUCUUGAUCCUGCAGCUAUACGAGACCCAACCAGCGCAGGAGCAAGCCAAUCACUUCUAUAUAAGACAACUGAAUCACCUACUUAUACGGAAACCCGGCAAUCAACAACCAAUUCAGAAACGGAGACGUUAGCACUUGUUCUUGUUGGGCUGUGGACCGGCUUUUGAUUCUUAUGAAACUCCCGAUUAUGCUUCAAAACCUGUAAGAUAUGAUGAUCCGGAUCACGCGCAAAGUCCUGAUUCUAUUUAUUAGGCUUCUUAUAAAGCAGAUGCUUCCUCUCCAUCUUCUGAUCUUGGGGCACUAACGGGAGCUUCAAAGCCAGUCGAACAAAGGACUUGCCCGGACUUUCGUCAAGCAUCGAACCGAAACUCGCACACAACAAGAACUCCCUUUUAAGACCCGAUUGCUUGAUGCCCUCUUUCGCCAACACCACCCACCGCCGGUUGCUUCUUUUCUGGAAACAGCUGAUGAUCAUGUUUAGGAUCCAGAUACUGCAACAGAUCCCACUCAGUAUGAAGCUUAUUCAAUUGGAAUUUGGUAUAGUAGUACUUGUGUUAAGCAAUGAAGGUGUCGUGGACGUGGAGAGAGGUGAAGGUGAAAGUGUCGUUGGUGCUCUUUGUACUGAUUACUUAAAGUGUCGUUGGUGCUCUUUGUACUGAUUACUCAUAUCUGAGUGUGCGAGUACUAAGUGGAGAGAUAAGCUUCUUUGCUUUCCAUUAGCCUUGCCAAGUAUAGAGCAGGUUGGUUCUUAGCUUUCCCCUUGCGUGCUUGCCUUUGGCGUUCACUAAUUAACAAGGGCCUUUCUAACUUAUUAAUACACAACACUUCUUGCCUUAAAGGAGAAAGAAGCCCAACUCAAUAAAUGUGCUAAGUAUUGAAUGCGAGUGGAAUUCCUUUAGCUCAAAGUAGUGUAGAGAGAAGAGAGCCAAGCAACGACCCCUAGGGUUACAGAAUCCAACUAAGUAGACUCAGAGUAGCUAGUAUCAGAGAAUCAAGCUCAGUAGUUACGGAAUUAACCUCAUAUGACCAGAACACCAAUACAAAGACAAAGAUAAGACAACUUUGGGUUGUACAAGAAUGGAACGGCGUAGUAUCACCUCUGCACUAACAGGACUUGAAACUCCACUUUCCACUGGACCUGGCCCUGGCAAUACUUAGUGCUUCAGUAAACAAAUAAUGAAAGUAGUACCGUUCUGGAACAGCUGACUCAAGAACUACACUUGCAUACCCGCACUGACUUAGACACAAUAACUGAACUCUCAUUUGCAGACCCGCUAGCAACUUACUUUCUACAGUUGAUGAAUUCUCUGAGAUCUACUUUCUUCGCACCAGCCUAGCAACUACUACUGGACUGGCAAACAGACUAUAAGGGCCCGAACUAACUCCAUUUUACUUGCAGACCUCAGUUAGAGAUUACUUGACUAGCUUCCUCUCCUCAAGCGUAUACUACAACUACUACCAUAAUAGUUCAAUAAGGUUGUGUCACUACUGAGUCGGCACUUGCUUUCUCUAACUACUGCCAGCCCAGCAGCUGACGCUGACCUUACGUUAAAGCCAAUGCCCCUGUCAUAUGUAUGGUAGUGUUCUUUUAUUUGAGCCUCGCCCCUAGUAGCCUCCGUUUUCAAACAAGUAAGGGCAAGCUUAGCUAAGGGAUAGGUAUACCGAUCCGGAACUACAAUGCUAUAUAGUAGGAAUAAAGACUUGAAUCACAGCUUCCCAUACCCUAACCGCUAAUACAAAGGAUGGACUACUAUACAUAAGACAAUAGCCACUACUAUCUUUGUUUGAAUUCGAAAACCUAAGCUACCAAUGCCCGAACUCAGAACUGAGACUUUCACUCCUGUCUUUUCGCCUCUAUCUACUGCCUCCGAUUCUGACAAAACUCGAUCUCAAUCUAACACUCCGGACUUGGAUCCUUCAGCUAAUGCUUAUGAACCUGCCAUUAAGACAAGUUAUCUUAGUAUAGGUCAAAUUCUUACUGCUCUGUUGAUCGGUCUGUUUCCCUUUACCUUAACUCUAUCUCCCCUUGCAGUUAGCCUGUCUCCUUUGGCACCUCAUUCUGCAUUCCCGCCUCGACUCUUCUACUCAUUGUUUGAAGUCUUUUUUUGCUUCUUUUUUGUUUGACCUUACUCGCUUCCUUCUUCGAUAAUGAGCUAUAAGCCUAAGAUCUAGUACUAAUAUAGUAUAUAGUUGUGUACGGGGCUAGCGUAUCCAAUAAGAGAAAUGAGAGGAGCAAGUAGUAGAGUAGUUGGUUGGCUCUUUUUAGUAGUCAAUUCGAUUCUUGUUAGUGGUCAAUUCCAUUCUUAGUAUAGUACACCUGUUUGUUACUUCGUUGAAUCCCUAGUGGGAGACAAUAAGGCUUAACCAAAGAGGUAGAGCAGAGCCAGCAGCUUGUUUCACUCUUUGUGGACUCGGUUGACGAAACCCGGGAAAGAGAACUCUGGGCUUAUGGAAUUGCACUACUUGUUAUCUUUGCGCUAAGUAGGGGAGCUAACUUUAGCAUUAACCGUGUAGUGGGCUGGGCCGGGCCGCUCUUCUUCUAUCUUUGAUUAGACGACUUUGUUUGUGCAAUAGACGACUUUGUUUGCACAUUAAGUAAGUAGGGGAGCUGACUUUCAUAACGAAAACUCGGGCUUGUGGAGUUACUUGUUCAAGCGCCAGAGAUUGAUUGUUAGUGAGCUCUGUUUGCCUUAAUUCUUUUCAAAGAACACUUUCACGUUAGCACCUAAAAACAAAUAGUCUGGAAGCGAUAGCACAACAGCGCAAGAACUAACUCCAAAGUGAUAGGCGGAGGGCGGUCCGGUUACAUACUAUAUUAGUGGAGGUGCAUAUGAAACCCUUGUGCGUUGGGCAGCUUACUAAUAUUUCAUAUAGGGUGCGUGCCUCUGUCCUAUAGUUCUAGUUCAAGUUCAAGGGGUAGUGUUCGUUCUUAUGCCAAUAAUCUAUUCAAGUUGUGCUAAGGCGAGCUGGUUGGAAGCGCUAACAGAGUUCUUUUACUUACGCAUGAGGAGUCACAGCUUUCCCUUACAGCGAGAGAAUCAAUUGAACCUGAUCUUGUUGUUCGUUGGUAUUCAGGGCGUCAGGAGCGGCCAAAGAGGAUUGAGCUAUUCUGGUAUAAAACUAAAGAAUCACACCGUAAGGUAGAAAACUAUGAUAGGGUUCGAACGAAACUAGAUUCUUAUUCUUCAAGGAGCACGUACGUGGUUGGCGGGAUAGAGUGCAAUUCCUGGGAGUCGGAAACGGAAGGUAGUAGCUUGGCAGUAGACAUAGUCCUGUGUUUUGGAGUAGGAAAUGUAGACAAAAAAAGGAGUGGAGAGUAGCCCUUAUAUUAAGUAGCAAGAACAGGAAGCUUAGAAGCGCGUUAAGGCAAUUAAUUCCGUUUGUCUCAAGGAGGAGUAGCAUCGUCUAUAUGAUCUCGCCCGGCGGAGCUCCUUUUUGCACUUGACGUCGGGGCGGUAUAGAGAGGUAAUUUCGUGUUAGUUGAAGGAGAUGAUUGUGUUGUCGGCGAUAGGGAGUUCAGGGCAUAAUAUAGUGCUUCUGAAGCAAGAUGUCAAUCAGUAACUAAAGGUUGAAAAUGAUACAACAUAUUUGGUUCCGCAACUUAAAUAGAGUAUCUUUCUGUUCUUGUGGGAAAGUAAGCCGCAUCUCAUGUCCACGCCACAUAAAGGUUAAGCGAAAGAAAAGAGUACGGGAGAGGAAUACGGGUAUUAAGCGGGAAAGAAUGUAUAGGUCAAGGCUCAAAGUGUAGUAGAAUUGUUCAAGUUCCGUAAGAGCAAGACAUGUUGCAGCUAACGUUGGGAAAGCUUUAAUGUAAGGACAAGCAGAGCGGCAGCUGAGUUUAACUAGGAGUUGGUCGACUCAGUCUCAAAGCCCCUUCCUUUCUACGCCCCCGGUUCUAUUCCAGUGGUAUUGCUUUUGCCGCAUACUUUAUCCAAAUCGAAUUGAAAAGCUUCUUGGAUUUUCUAAGAGCAUGUUCCUGAUCAAAGCUAGAAUAAGCUAAUAGUGGGCUCGGAAUUGAACGUCGUAGGAUCUUUCUUUCCACAGGCUCCUGCCGCGCUACAGCUUAUUUCGUUUCUUUCCUUAAACAGACUAUGAGGGCCACUAAGCCUACUUCUGUCAAAGCUACUAGACCAGACCACUACGCCUUACUUCAUUAGUAACAAAGUCUUACUCGUUCAUUUCAUGAUUCAAUUAAGUAUUCUUUUGCUGUAUAGUCAAACUUCCUUCUAUUUGCUUAGCUAAAUAAGGGCAAAAAGGGGUAGACUCAUUAUAAUCAAAUAGUUCACUACUGAAUUCAACCUACUAUACUUAUGAGUAAAAUACGGGAAUAGGGAAUUUCACCAUGGAUAACAAGAAUGGAGCUAAGGAGUAGCGGAUUGAACUGCUCUUAAUAAGAAUCGAAUUAGACAUAAGAGUUGGGGUACGAUGUAGCUGUUAAGGAAUAGAAUACAGAAUAGGGGUAACAAGUAUAAACCUGGAACUACUCCUUAUAAGAAUCGGAUGGGGAAUACAGAAUUGGACUAGUAACAAGAAGAAUGGAACUUUGGGUUUACAAGAGUGAAGGUUUCAAUCAUUAGCUUGCUACCGCGCCACGUUAGUAGCUCCCGGAUACUGGACUCGCUCAUAACAGGAGCUGCCCUGACGCCUUGGAAUUAGGACUUGCUUGCACAUAACCAGUUAAGAAUGUAUUUCUUACUUAAGGGGCUCCUGCCGCGCAACACAAACAAAGUAGUAGAGGACAAACAACUGGUGCUGACAAGACACCUAUAAGCUACCUAAAAGAAUAGAACCACUACCGACAAGACUGAACCCACUAGCUGGGAAUCCGACACUGCCCUGCCUUAACUACUAAGAUCGAUUGCAAUCCACCAAACCAGAGUAUAUUUCUUAUUACAUAGUCUACUUCUUAUUAGUAAUGUCUGCUGAUGUCUUCAUUGGUUAUGUCUGCUGAUGUCUUCGUCAACUCAAUAUGGGGAAUCAAACAGAGCAUACAGAAAACAAAUAAAAGUAUGGAGACCAACUGCCGAUAACAGGAAUGGAGCUGGGGCUAAUAAGGCUGUCACUACUAUCAAUCAUAAUUGAGCUAUUGUAGUACUAACGGGAACCAAAAGAGUGUAGCGGCCCUGCCGUUUUCACUCCUAGCCGCUCCACUUUCUCUCUAUUUCAUUGAACUAUGGAUCUCUUGCUUGGGUGUUCAGCGUAAACAUCACUCUUAGAAGUUAACAUCAUUCUUCUUGCGCGAACAGAACUCGUAUACUUUCCUAAUACCUAGCAUUCUGAUCCAAAUCUUGUUCCUGCUCUACCUAAUCCAGCUCCUACUCACGCUUUCGCCUCUGAUCUAUAUAAGUAUUUCCUUUGCCAGUUUUCCUCUGCACACUAUAAUCAAUUCCGUAUUGACUUGCAAGAGUUAGAAGAGAUCCAAUCUUAUCUGCGCUUACGGGAGCUUCCUUCCCAGUACUCUCCUCUGCCCUUACCGCUCUGCUCCGUGGGUCAAAUAAGGUUUUCUGUGUUAGUGAGCGUUGCGCCUAUUCUAACUUCAAUUAUGGGUAUGCCUCCAUCUAUUCGUUCUUAAUAAAGCAAGCAGUAACCAGUGAAGGAAGCAAUGCAGUGUUCUUAUUUUAUUCCAUAGAAAUAGGUGGUGCAUAUUCGCGCAGUAAGCAGUGUGGAGUUACUUUCAGAAAAAGAAAUGAGUCAAGGAGUUAGGAAGCCAAAGGGAUGCACCCAAGUGUUCCUUUCCCGCUACACAACUGUCUAUAAUCUUAUAAAGUAGGAAGUGGCCGACCAAUGUAAGUGCUGUCAGCUGUAAGCAGUAAGGAGUCUUGAGUAAGGAGUAAGAGAAGCCAUACUGUGUGGUUUUUAGUAAGGAGUGAGUUUAGAGUUCGCCCUUAUGCACUUGAGCGGGCGCCUAGCAGUGAGGUUACCGAUUAACAACUUCUUAGAGAAUAUGUGCAUUAGCUUCUUUUCUCUUUAUAGUCAUUCGGGGAACAAGCUUAGUCUAGUCCUUCAGUUGCGAUAACAUGAGUGGUGCAUUACUUAGAGAAGGGAUAUAACAAAACAAACAAACUACAGUUUGCCUCUUCCUAUCAUAUUGAGUGUAAAGGGUGCUAACGCUUAUUCGAGUUCUUUCAAGGGUUGCUCUUCUUUUUUGCUUUAGUUAGCUUUGGAGGAGUCAGCAGUCCAAUUACGCUAUGUUAGAUGUUGUCGUUAUUGUCGUUAAUUUCCAUUUCCAUUCCAAAAAGCAGUGAGGUAACGUUCGUCCUUGUGCUAGGGCAGCUUCUUUCUACAAAUAAUAUUGCAGUCCUUGCUUGUUUGCUUUAAUAACGAAACUAUUGAUUAUUCUACUUGUAUCUUCAUUUGCUUGGACCGAACUUUCUAACGCGCAGAACAGAACGAAACUCUCCCUCUAGUCCUUUAAUAAGCAGGGUUCCUCACUCAAUUCCACAAGUCAAGUGGAGCCGAUUCUUUCUGUACCAACUUCAGAAAUGCGAGAAAUAAGGAAGUGUGAGGGUAGGGCUCUCCCUUAUAGUGCUUUUCUUUACCUUAUAGUGCUUUUCUUUGCCUUGUAGUGGUUGGCGCAGGAUAAGAAGCAUCUCGGGAGUCAAGUAAAUACCUCUCCUAUUCCUAUUCCCGCUCUAGUCAGAGUAAUAAGGUCCCAACUCAGAGUGUUCUUUUUGAUGAUAUCGAAGCGUAUCCAGCUCCGUUCUAGUAUAGGAAAGAGAGAUCGAGAUGUUAGAUUCCGGGCGAAGGUGCGAAGCCAGAUCCUCUCGAUUUGGAGAAGAAUUCAUUCCUAUACGGAAAGUGCUAAUGAAUGCGGAAGGAAGUAUUUCUGAUAAGUGCAGCUGCAAGCGGGUAUGUUUCUGAAGUGGAGUCUCCUUCUGGUCAAGUAGAAAGAUAAUCAUGGAAUUGAGUUGAGGCGCUGGUUGGUUACCCACUUCUUCUAUCAUGCCUAGCUCCAUCCUCUGAUUCUGGUCUGGUUCCGAGAAGUUAGUUGAAUUCUGUUAGAGGAAUGAGGGAGAUCCGAUAGAACUGGGGCAGCAUACUGAACUCCUUCUUGCUUAGCUCUUUCUUCCCAUUCCCACUCCGAUGCUCAGAUCAAGGGUAUAAAUUCUCCGACGUCUAUAAGAUCUAGUGCACAUUCCCACUCCGAUCAUAAGAUAUAGUAUUGGUAUUAAUUCUCAGAUGCUCUAGUCCAGAGUAGAGGUUGAGUAGCCAGCUGCUGUUCUUGUUGAAGACCGAGUUGAGUCUGGUUAGAAGUAAGAGAAAGAGAUAUAUUGAAUUAAUCCCUCCUUACCGUAGAAAGAGAUAUAUUGAAUUAAUCCCUCCUUAUCCUUAUAGACUAUCAAUGUGAUAUGAUUGAAGCAAGUAAAAUGCCAAUCUCUAAAGAAUAUUCUCAGUGAAGUCAAAUACGAUUUUACAGUAUGUCAUUCUAUCUGGUAAUGAUUGGAUUCGGUUCCACACCUUUGCCCACUAGGAGAUUAUAGGCGCAGCUUCCAGCCUUACCAGUGAAAGUCCCGCCUAAGCGCGCACUCGUCCGACCAAUUGAGUUUACCUAGCAUACGUAUGUUGAACAUAAGAAGUGGAACAUAAGAAUGAAUUGAUCCUGCAAUGGCAGCGAAGUAGCAUCAGUAUCUAGUUACAGGGCGUCCUACUUUACUUGAGGUGGAUAGCUUAACGGAACUCAAAUGUCAAGUAGAAACUUUAGACGCAUAUAUAUAUAUGAUACUCUAAGUCUGGAAUGCAAACCGGGAGAGCAUCAGUGGAUUUCAUCUUCUAUACUUCAAUUUAGUCUUCAUAUACCUUUAGGGAACAUCAAUUCUAUACUUCAAUUUAGUCUUCAUAUACCUUUAGGGAACAUCAAGAAGAAGAGACUAUCAAUUAUCCACCAACCCAACUCCUGCCAAAGACUCAACCAGUGCAAACAAACUGCGGGCAUGCAUUAAUGGAAGAACUGAUCUCAUCCCCAGAAGCAAUUAAGGCCAAUCAAAGAGAGAAAUUGUUGAUACAGCCGCCCACUAAGCACUAAGAUGCACCGCCCACAGAAAGUUUUAGACGAACAACGAGCUAUCGCAAAGUCUCCCACCACAACCACGGAGGAAGAACCGAAGUAUGCCGCUUUUACCGAGCUCGAACCUUACCCAUGAAGACAACUAUCUUUAUCGACCUAAGAUCCAUCCGAUCAGUUUCAGUCUAAUAUAUGGAAUAGAAACAUCCUUGGGCUAUGAGAAUCACUACUGGCGGAGUAGGGCAAGUAAGUGGCAAAGCUACCCGAGUGGCAAAGCGACCCUGGUUGCCUAGCCUAAGCAUAAACAAAAGAAUAGUGUAGAACAAUAAGCUAAUUUCGCUCAUCGCUCCAUCUUUUCACUGUAGCUACAAAGUGUUCUUUGAUCGGAAUCCUAUGAAUCGUUACCUAUUGCAGUUCUCUUUUCCUUAUCUAUUGCAGUUCUCUUUUCCUCAUGUCCUUUUAUUUCAUUCCUUUAUUUCCUUAUAUUCCAGAAAUGCCAUACUUAGAAGGGUAACGAGUUCGUCUUGCAACCGGAUGUUGGCCGGAGUCUUGUAACUUAGCCUAUUUCGAUCGCCGGGCAGACUGUUGAAACUGCUUCUGUACGUCGAGUGCGGAUAUAGGAAGGAGUGGUUACCGCCUAUUCGUUAACUCGGCUGCUAUGCUUGACCGACGCUGGCUCCAUACUCCGAAAAAGGCAAGGAUAGACUCAGAUACGAAAGAAAGAAUCAAGAAAAAUCCACUAUCGACUUCUUCCACUUUGAUUUGACAAUCUAUAUUGCCCGGAGGUGGUGAAUCAGAGGGAGAGAUAGCCCUCUUAGAAGAUAACGCUUGUUUAAGCCCGUGUUAAAGGGAGGCUCCGCAAGACCAGUAGCUUUCCCUCUACUUAAGUGUCUAAGACCUUUUCCUUCUCUCUCUCUUUCCUAGCUAACUCUUUCCUUCUCUCUCUCUUUCCUAGCUAACUCUUUCCUAGCUAACCUAGAGAAAAGCCUAUUUUCCUUCUCUCUCUCUUUCCUAGCUAACCUAGAGAAAAGCCUAAAAGAUUCUAUCAAGCCUAUACGAGUCUACCUCCGGAAACUAAGGAUUCCCCAUCCAAAAAAGAAGAAGCGAAAUCCUGACCUUGAACCUAACCCUUCCGGUGUCUUAUAGCCUAACACUCUAGCUUAUCACUCUAGCUCUACCAAGAGAGAAAACUAUAGCUGAUACAGUACUAUUACUACUACUCUAUAGAUGGCAACUCGAGAC